RNAcentral lists this long non-coding RNA (54279 nucleotides) under Triticum aestivum (bread wheat). Its description in RNAcentral is "long non-coding RNA (TAES_LNC003103)". Lineage: Eukaryota; Viridiplantae; Streptophyta; Magnoliopsida; Poales; Poaceae. The record is from RNAcentral.
UGCAAGCUGUUGCGCUGCAGCUGGAAUCUAACUGAUGUGUGUUUAUGUGCCGUAAAGAAACUAUCAGAUCAUAUUAUGCAAAUCAGAAGCUAUGGUUGUCGGUUCAUGUUCACCUAUGCCACAGUGGGGAAUGGAAGUCCUCCGAUUGUUGUUAUUUUGCAUUUACUACCAUGCCUCGAUGCCGGGAAGAACUGCCCUGUGAUUGUGUUACCCUGUGAUUGUUAAUCAUUAUUUUAUCAAGUGUAGUUUCCAACUCAUCCUUGGUGUAUCAUUCUUUCUUUCCAUCAGCCAUGUUGUAUGUUUUGAAACAUUUGUAAAUAGUCUUCUACUCCCUUUUUAUAUUAGUACUUGUGUUUACUUUACCAGCUUUAGCAGAAAAUGCAUACGAUCAGUCGGUUGCGCACCUCCCUUUUUUCCUAUGGACGCAGCUCCCUUUUAUUGCACCAACAAUAUGCGUCUGGAUCGCUGCCUAACUUUAUUUUUUCACAUCAGUUCCGACGCAAGCGCUCGUAUAUACGUGCAUACACUCACCCCUAUAAAUACACAUAUAGCCACCAUAUUCUAUGAGCACCUCCGAGAGACCGAGUCGGCAUUUCAUCUUGAGAUUUUACGAAGUCACUGUAGACGCCUCAUAGUCGACAGGAACGUCUCCUCCCACUGAACGUGUAUCGCUGUAAGUCAUUAGGAUACCAUUGUCCACAUAACCAUCCAACCACAUAUUGAUUCGCUAUCGCAGCCCACCUUGUAAUCUCUCCAAGCAUAGCUUCGAAAGAGGAAUUUUAUUUAGGAAUACAAAAGAGGAGUUGGUAGUCUUUCCUCACCUCCCACAAUUGCAUCACCCUUGUUUUUUCUCUCUCACUAAUAAAAAUUGAAAAGAAUAAGGUUUCCUCGCAUGUCGCUAUGGCCUUCCGCUCCCUCUUCAUUCGUGCUUUUUCUUUCUGUUUGCCUCCGGGUUUUUUUUUUCGUGUGAUUCCCGUUCCCAGUUCAUCUAACCGUGCGACAUCCCAUGCCUCUCUCACAUCAAUCCCCUUCUUUGUUCCUCCCAAGCCCGGCUAGGGACUCCUUCCAUUGUGUGCUCCCUCUACCACGCCGUCUGUCCUGGAUUUGUCAUGGCAGAUGUCCUUAGUGUCAGGACUUAGUCGCGAGGCCAACGCAUCUAUGUGGUAGCUUGAGAGGGGUUGAGUGGGACGAGAGACGCAGGGCGGAUCAACACGUAAGACAAGGGUUUAGACAGCUUCGGGACCCGGGAAACAUCAUCCGGUAAUAGUCCUACAUGCUGUUUGAGGCUAGGUCUCAUUAUGCUCAUGAGGGAGUUGUCGCAUAAGCCGGCUCCCCCUUUGGUUGUGUCUAGCCCUAGAGAUUAUUGUUUCUUCUUGCUUGCCCCUCUUUGGGGAGCCCUGCCCCUCCUUAUAUAAGUUAGAGGGGCGGGUUACAUGUGGAGUCCUAGUAGGACUAGGACUAGUCUAUCUUCUCUUACAAGUUGAUUACAAGUCCGGGUCUUGCUUCCUCGUAAAGGAAAUAUUCAUCAUCCCUUUCCUCUUAAGCCGGCCCACCUUUAUAUGAACCGGCAUACUGGGCCUUGGGCCUUGUCGUCCGUCUGAAGCACCCGCCGGGUCACCCAUGAGUCUUCAGGCUCGUGAGUCGUCACACCGGUGAGCCGCCAGACCCGUGAGUCGCCAGUCCUUCGGCGGGUCAUCGGGAAGCGCCAAGUCCGGCCGGGUCAUAUAUCCGGCCGGGUCAUACCACGGGGUAUAUCUCCGACAUUAGCCCCCAGUUUAAUCUGGAUUUAUCCAUGUUAAACUAACCCUGCAAAAUAACUCAAGAACAAUUUGACAGGUUGUGCUCCGGGUUAGAUAUUUGUAAGCCGGCACCUCAUCAUCUUUAAAUCCUUGCCAUUUCCUUCUUGAUACAUGCCCAUGAACUCAUAGCAAAUCUCUUUUAGUAGAUAUGUUCAAAUUUUGCCAAUGCAAAAAAUCCAGAUACUUCCUUUGAAAAAUCCGGGUCAAUAGGCCAGCUUCAGAGUCAAUUUGCUAGCAUUGGUCUCUUGUAGAUAAAUAUUGUAAGAAAUAAUCCACUUGAACCGGCUUCCAAAGUGUCGGCUUAAAACAUAUUGGUCUUGAAAUACUGAUCUGACUUUCAGCCGGCUUAAAGAUGUAGAUCUUACCGAUUUAUGAUUGCCAAAAUUGCCGGGUUAUAAAUAAAUGAUGUCGGGUCAUGAUUGUUGCAGACACCGGGUUAAUCUGAUCUACACCAAACUGAGAAUUUGAAGAUUUUUUCUCCCUUAUAUGUAUAUCACCUAUAGCCCCCAAGUCUUAAGAGGAAAACAUAGUGAUAACUUAAGACUUGCUUCAAUAUAAGUGUUGCAACCUUGAAGAAAUCCAGUUUAUUCAUCUCAAUCAUUAGUCAUAAACUGAAUAUUCCACAUAUGUAGCCCUCAAGUGCCGGGUUGUCAUGCUUGCAGCAAUCUGGGACUUGUAAUUGCCUUAUGCUCAUGAAAACUUCAACUAGUGUAGCCCCCAAGGGUCGGGUCUCUAUGCAAUAAUGAACAGGGACUUUGUAAAUAUGAUCAUGUAAACUUGACCAGCAACGUGUAGCCCCCAAGGGCCGGGUCAGUAAGAUAUUACCGAGCUGGGACUUUGUAUAUGAUUUAUCGAUAAUAACAUCAUAUGAUGUAAUCUCCACCAUGGGGCUUGAACCCACGUCCACAAGGUUAAGAGCUUUGUACUCUAUCAACUGAGUAGUGGAUCUUUCAAUAUAAUGGAUUAAGACUUGUGUACCUUGAAUUUUUGACAGGAGCAAUUGGUAGCCCCCAAGGGUCGGCUCAUUUAGAAUGUGAUGAGUCGGGUCUUCAAUAAGUUGAGCAAAAAAUGACUUUGCAUUAGCCCCCAAGUGCCAUGGUGCAUGCUGGCAGUGACAUGGGACUUGCAUAUUUGAUGCAAUCUCAAUUUGAAUAAUGUAGCCCCCAAGUGCCGGGUUGUAAGCCCGCAGCAACUCGGGACUAUUCUUUCCAUUGUAGAGUAAAUCAUAUCCAUUGAUAAAAUAAUAGUCAUUGCGCUAAAGUGACUUUGAAAACCUCAAUGAUAAUUUGACAACCGUAAAUAAAAUCCAGCCAUGUUGGCUAUUCAAAAUUUGAAUAAUAUAAUCCGGUACGAAAACCUCAAUCAUUCAAUAUCAUCAUGACAAUCCAGCCAAGUUUGGCUAUGAAAGAUGUGAAUACCUUAUUGGUUGACAAGUAAAUCCGGAGUUUAAAUACUCGGCUGCUCUUGGCCGAUAGCGACUUAAUGCACAUUCAUGGUAAGCCGGAAUUUUAAUAACCCAAUGGCUUAUAGCCUUUGAGAAAAUCCAGAAUGGAUACCCCUUUUGAAACAUCAAUUUGGAUGAUGAUCUUGAACUUAAUAUAAGUCAUAGUUCUGCAAAUCCCGUGAUAUUGAAUCGUACUGCCGGCUUAUGAUACCUGUGCAGUAAGGGUGAUAACCCAAAACUUAGAAGUCAAACCUUCCAAGUAUUAAUAUUGUCAUAUGCUGGCAACUUGUCCGUCGAAAGCCAGGGCGGGUUAACAGAAACCACAUAUAUAUGCUUCAGAUAUGAGCAAAAAAGUGUCUCAAGUAAAAUUCAAAAAUUUGUUUGCAAAAAGAGACUUCAAGAAUUUUGAGGCUUCUGAUUCGAAUACGAUCAGAAAACCGUUCCAAAGGGGUUAAGCUAAGAUUCGAAUACGGUCAUAUAGCCCCCAGUGGCUUUGGCGUUGCCGAUCAAGAGGGUACCGACAGCUAUGUUCUCUUUGGUUCGAAUACGACCUAUGUUUGAACAGGAAGCCCCCAAAUGACCUUGAGAGUUGUUUAACGACGCUGAUUCGAAUACGAUCCACGUCGGACCCAAAAGAGGUUAAGCUAUGAUUCGGAUACGAUCAAGAAGCCCCCUAGUGAGUUUGGCAGUGUGCCGAUCAAAAGGGUUUCGACAGCUAUGUUCUCUUUGGUUCAAAUACGACCUAUGUUUGAACAGGAAGCCCCCAAGUGACCAUAUAUUAGCAUUGCACCGAUCAAAAGGGUACCAACAGCUAUGCUCAAUGAGCAGGAAGCCCCCAAGUGACCAUAAUAAGAUAAGCCGUAAGGCAUGAUACCCAUGUUUGAACCGCGCAUCAUGGUAGCGAGCUCUUUUUGGCACCCUUUAAUCUUUCUGAGAACUCGAACUUGCGAGAUAUUAAUUCUUUUUGAAACGGAAGUUUAAACCGGAUUUGAAAGCUUCAAAACUUUGUGAGAGAUAAAUUUACCUUGAGCCGGAUUUGAACCAGAUUUGAGAGCUUAAAAAAAUUGUGAGGGACAAAUUUACCUUGGGCCGGAUUUUGAACCGGAUUUGAGAGCUUCAAAAAUUUGUGAGGGACAAAUUUACCUUGGGCCGGAUUUUGAACCGGAUUUGAGAGCUUCAGUGCCUUGUGGGAGAAAGAUGUCCCUUGAACCGGAUUUUAAACCAGAGUCCUUAUUUUGAGCCGGAAAUCUUCUGAUGGCUUUUAAAUUUUCAUCAAUCCAGCAGUAAUCUCCGGGGCCGGGUUAUUUUUCCCUUCAAUGACCCGGAGUUCUUGAAUUUAUUGAAACCGGCUAAUUUUGCCGAGUCAUACCAUUGUAGCCCCCGAGUCCCAAGACGACUCGAGGAGUUGGCUUGAGAUUCUCCAUAUUUGACCAUAGUAGAAGGUGUAUAUCAUUGGCGUUGAUAGCGUGAUGUGAAUCCACAAAAGGUUAAGGUGACUACAGCAGGUUAUAAAUGAUCCCAUAUGAGCCAUGUCAGCAACUCGGCCAAUGGUUCCUUCCAACUGGUUGUUUGAAGUUUAACCAAACUUGUAGUGGCGGUGACUUGUCGCCUGCCCAUUGAGCCAUCCAGUGCAGACAACGGUUGAUAGUAUAUGAUAAUUUGUCUUCACUUUGUUGAAAGAAAAUCGGGCUACCCAAGCUGUGACUUGCUCAUGCAGACAGGUGCAGCCUGGUAUGUUGAUGUAGACCAGGCCGCAAGAGACGGACGACAAAGACGACCGCAACAUCAGAGGCGACUCGGAUAAAUGAGUUGGCCACGACAUUGUAAACCGGUGCGGACGGGGAAAAUCGGCACCGGUGUCAUAAACCAGCACGGACGGGCGAGUUAAUCGCGGGCGUGGUCCCGGUAAGUUGAUGUAAACCGGGCCACAAGGACGACAACUUGCUCAUGUUCAUUCAGCAGGUGGUAUGAUACGGACGAAACGCUAGUGCAGAAUGUUGUUAGCAUGUGCUCUGUGCCCAUAAUAUAACACCUCAUUUGUAAUGAACAAUUGUCCUGCGUCAAAAAUAUCACAUGCCAAAGUAAUAGUUCCUUGACAAAAAUAAUAUGCUCUAAUAAAAUAGGACUUAGAUGGAUAUCACCUGAUAUAUUAGGUCAGAAUUAUCCACCGUGGAGUUGAUGAUCACCGCGGCAAAGCUGAAAUCAAUCAUGGACAAGUCGGCCAUACGAGCAGACGGAUGUUCCGGCCGCGGUGUUGUAAACCGGUGCAGACGAGCAAGUUGUCCUCCGUGUUGUAAACCGGCGCGGACGCAUGAACCGGUAGCCAGGGCGGACGGGCGAGUCGUCUGUGGUGUUGUAAGGUGGUGCGGACGGGCGAGUCGGCUGGCGCGUUGAUGUAAACCGAACCGUGAUACGCGUGUCCGUGAAUGACAUAAAAAAUUGUCCCGUGUAAAAAUACUACAGGACAGAGUAAUUGUUCUUUGACAAGAAACAAAAAGUGUUUAAUACAUAAAUUUAAAUGAAUACCACCUGAUGUUUGGGCGGACAGUAAAACCACCGCAGCAUCAGAAGCGGCUUCGGAGUGAUGAGUCGGUCGCGGCCUUGUAAGCCGGCACAGACGAGCCAGUUGUCCUCCGCGUGAACCAGUACUAGGUAAUGUUGGACGUAUUCCGUGCGGCCUUUGGUAUGUAAACAGGACCAACAGACAACCCACAUAUCAAGUAUGCUGAUGAUUUCUUAUUCUGCACAAGGCGCGUGUGUGGUCGGAGCUGUCCAGUCCGUCCUUCCAACUGUGCACCUGCCAUCAGCGUCGAUCGGACACACCUGUAUGGGUGGCUUGUGGCGACUCAAGGUGGUGAAUUUUUGUCAAAAAAGACCAUCUGACCAACGAAAUUGCCAAAGAAGACCCCCGUCGGAUGAAAUUAACAAAAAAGACCCCCUUGACCGUGGCGGCAGGCGCGCCGGGCGACACGUGGCACCUGCCGCCACGGUGCGAGGCAGCAGCCCCUGCCGCCACCGGGUCAGGCGGCAGGCUGGCCAGAACGGGAAUCCGCACCCGCGAUGAAACUGGGCUGGCGCUGUGGGCCCUGCCGCCUAAGGGGCAGGCGGCAGCCGUGUGCACGCCGCUUUGGUGUACUGACUGAUUAUGUGCGUUGGAGCAGCAGCGGCACGGCCAGCUCCAGAAUAAUCGCUCGUAGCGGCAAACAACACGUGACGGUCCAGCGUGGAGCCCUUGGGCUACGCAUGUGAGGAACACACUGUAACUGAGUGGGUUCAUCUCGCCAUAAUCAAGACGUAGCAUGAUACAUGUAGGUGUGUUCAGUUCAUCUGGUCAUCAUUCGUGUGAUUAUUUUUUUAAACGAUUUGUGUGAUUAAUUGAAUAGACGUGUGGUUGUUGCGUAGACGCCCUGGGUCAGCGACCCGUUCGACCCCUUUGCCCGAGAUAAGUCUGCUGCCUGGCAGGCGGCAGGGCCCAACAGCUACAGCGCUACUGCAUGCAGCGCUAGCCCCGUUCCGUCGCGGGGGAGGAUUCUCGUUCUGGCCAGCCUGCCGCCUGAUCCGGUGACGGCAGGGGCUGCCGCCUCACACCGUGGCGGCAGGUGCCACGUGUCGCCCGGCGCGCCUGCCGCCACGGUCAAAGGGUCUUUUGUCAAUUUUAUCUGAAGGGGGUCUUUUUUGGCAAUUUUGUUGGAUAGGUGGUCUAUUUCGAAAAAAAAUCCAAGGUGGUGGCUCAGAACAGCGGCUCAGAGGCAGCGCAGCAGAGUUGAGGUCAGCGGGUCACGGCCUCGGCGGUUUAGUGAAAACUCACAGUAAAGCGAGGCUGGUCGGCCGCAGUAGAAACGAGAACUUGAGAAAUCCCACUGCGAGGCAGAGGCGACGUACCCAAAUACUACUAGUCGGUUUCUCCACCAUGAUGCUUUUUUUUGCUUUUACACACUGCAUCCGUGUGAGUCCAAGUCACAGGCGGUAACGACGAGGUCGACCGAGUCCUCCUCUUGUAGGUUUGCCCCACGUACUCUACAUGCCCAUCUGGAUUUUUCAUUGAGUAGCAAUCGAUUCUUGAUCUCCGUGCUGGCCAUGUAGUAGCACUAGGGCACUUCACGUAUUAGCAGCUGCCAUCGGUGGACACGUCCAUUGAACAAAAGAGUAAAAAACUAACUUGGAUGCUUUCGCACUGGAUUCUUCCCUUAAAUAAAUCCUUGAUCUCUAUCUUGAAUAUUCAACCUCAGUCCAGGUGGGAUAACUGUUGCGAAAACUCCCCACGCGUGCCGCUUUUACUCUUUUUUCUGCUGCUAGCUUGUAAUUUGGCAGCGUUGAAUACUAUGUUUUCUCCUCAUCUGGUCUGCUCCUGGUCCAACAAGUACGCAAUAUUUCCAAGUGUCAACUUCGCGACACAGUUGAUCAGAUUCAAAUCGGUCUCAGCGGACCAUAUAUAGGACGAUGGGCGGCGGAAAAAACUACAACCAGAGGUUGUCACGCGCCGGGAUAUCAUGCAUGAUUGUUCCGUGUCGGCUCUUCGUCAUCCUGCAAUCCGUGACUUUCUCGAAACCCUAGGACAGAUCCCUCCAAGAACUCAACACCACCGUGCGCGAGCCCCACGGUGGGCGCCAACUGUCGUGAAUUUGUCACGGCAGAUGUCCUUACUGUCAGGACUUAGUCGCGAGGCCAACAUAUCUAUGUGGUAGCUUGAGAGGGGUUGAGUGGGAUGAGAGACGCAGGGCAGAUCAACACGUAAGACAAGGGUUUAGACAGCUUCGGGCCCCGGGAAACAUCAUCCGGUAAUAGCCCUACAUGCUGUUUGAGGCUAGAUCUCAUUAUGCUCAUGAGGGAGUUGCCGCAUAAGACGGCUCCCCCUUUGGUUGUGUCUAGCCCUAGAGAUUAUUGUUUCUUCUUGCUUGCCCCUCUUUAGGGAGCCCUGCCCCUCCUUAUAUAAGUUAGAGGGACGGGUUACAUGUGGAGUCCUAGUAGGACUAGGACUAGUCUAUCUUCUCUUACAAGUUGAUUACAAAUCCGAGUCUUGCUUCCUCGUAAAGGAAAUAUUCGUCAUCCCUUUCCUCUUAAGCUGGCCCACCUUUAUAUGAACCGGCAUACUGGGCCUUGGGCCUUGUCGUCCGUCUGAAGCACCCGCCGGGUCACCCAUGAGUCUUCAGGCUCGUGAGUCGUCACACCAGUGAGCCGCCAGACCCGUGAGUCGCCAGUCCUCCGGCGGGUCAUCGAGAAGCGCCAAGUCUGACCGGGUCAUAUAUCCGGCCAGGUCAUACCGCGGGGUAUAUCCCCGACACCGUCCCUCGCCGCCCCCACGCGCAAUCGCCUUCUUUGUUCCUUCCAAGCUCGGCUAAGGUUACCCAUCUAUUGUGUGCUUCCUCUGCCACGCCGUCCUUCACUGCCCCCACGUGCCACAGCCAUGGGAUCGGCCACCUUGCUAUGGUGGGCGUCAAUCCAUAGCAGCGGAGCUGGCCGGGCGUGAUGGCCAUUGGCGAACUCGUGCUGAGGUCGAAGGCCAUGAUUGUGGUGUCGUUGUUGUUGUGCGCUCCGUGCUGGGAGCUGUUAUCGCCUUGUCCAAUGCGAUGCCAUGGUCGACUUAGACUGGAACCAGUCAUGCGGCGAGAAGCCUAUGUCUAAGGCCGCCAUCUCACGUCGGCGUGUGCGUGCCUAAAGAAACCGUCUGUAGCGCCCAAGAUGCGAUUAUAUCCCAAUCACGUGAUGAAUUCAUGAUUGGGGCACAACCACAUUUCGAGCGCAUAGCAAGGUGGAUAUCAUUACAACAUACCAUGUACUGAAUAGAUGAGAAUACAAGAUGAAGGCUUACACUCGCCACAAGCUACAACAUGAAUGCAUGAAUACAUUAAUACAUAGCAAUCAUCAUACAGAAGAGCGGGAUCCGACUACGGUGAAAUCAACGAAAAAGAAGAACGACAUCCACCCUGCUAAUCCCAGGCUCCCAACCCGGAACCUAUCCCUUGAUCGAGGAAGAAGAAGCAGAAGAACUCAAAAACAAGCAAACAUCGCUCUCACAUCAGAUCAUCACAUUACAUGUACCUUGAACUGUUGUUGUAGUAAUUAGUGAGCCACGAGGACCCAGCAAUCCCAUUACCAUGGGUAUCAAGACUAGCAAAGCUUAAUGGGUAAGGAAUGGAUAAGUGGUGAGGUUGCAACAACCACUAAGCAUUUGUAUGGUGGCCAACUUACGAGUACAAGAAUAAGAAGAGUAACUACACAUAACAGUCGCAACUAGUAAUGAUCAAUAAGUAAUCCUGAACUACUUAUGAGUCAAACAUAAGCCCACCGUGUUCUCUUCCCGAACUCCCUCGAAAAGAGAUGGUCACGAUUAUACACAAGGUUGGUGUAUUUUAUUUUAAGUUUAGUGUCAAGUUCUCUACAACCGGAUAUUAUAAAUCUCCAAGUCGCCCCAUAAGCAAUUUUCGAACACUACCAGGGAAAAGCCUAUACACAGAAUCUUACCAGCAGCGCACUUUAAAAUCAGGCGUUGCUGCUACUUAGCAGUAGCACUCACUUUAAAACCUCGCUGCUGGUACAAGUUUAUCAGUAGCGCGCGCACACCAGGACGUGCUACUGCUAAAAUUCCCACGAUGCCGCAGCGAGGCCAAUUAUAGCAGCAACGCGUUGGAACAAAGGGCGCUACUGCUAAGGAUCGUAGCAGCAGCGCAUUUACGCUAUAAUCGCUACUACUAAGGUUACUACAAAAAUUUAGUCCCAUCUCGCUCCGUGAAGAGAGUUUGUACCACCUUAAAUAUGUUACUUCUACAACUUUCACAAGCACUUGGUCUUCAUUGAACUCUAUGUGUAGGAUCUAUGGCCGCAAUAGGAAUCCUCGCUUGUUCCUAAACCAACCGUCGAGGAUUCCUAUUGACAAAUCAGAUUGUACACAAAAAGACAAUUGAUGAUUAAUGUAUUUUUUAUGUCAAUGUCUAACAUAGCAGUAGCGCGUUCUCGGCCAAAGGCGCUACUGAUAGGUCGUUUAGCAGUAGCGCACUUUGCUAUAGCGCGCUACUGCUAAGCCAUUCCAUCUCCCCCCCUCACCUAUCCGAUCCAGAUCACACUCACACACACACUCGAUCUCCCCCUCGUCGCCCCUCCUCUGUUCUGCGCCGCCGUCGCCUCAGCCUCCUCGCUGGACUCGGUAUCGGCCUCCUCCUCCGUCCUCCCUCCAAUGGCCGCUGGCCGACCCCUCCUCGCUCCGCCUUCCUCCUCCAUUCUCCCUCCACUCGCCGCCGGCCAGCCCCUCCUCGCUCCGCCUUCCUCCUCCAUUCUCCCUCCACUCGCCGCCGGCCAGCCCCUCCUCGCUCCGCCUUCCUCCUCCGUCCUACUCUCUUCUCCCUCCUCGAGUCGCCCCUCCUUCUCCCUCCUCCCUGCUACAUUUUGAUUUAGUAGGCUAGUUCAUAUGCAACAUUCUGAUUUAGUUGAUAUGAUUUAGUUGAUUUAGUAAGCUAGUUGAUUUAGUUGAUUUAGAACAUUUUGAUUUAGUUGAUUUAGUAGGCUGGUUGAUUUAGUUGAUUUAGUAGGCUAGUUGAUUUAGUUGAUUUAGUAGGCUAGUUGAUUUAGUUGAUUUAGUAGCCUAGUUGAUUUAGUUGAUUUAGUAGGCUAGUUGAUUUAGUUGAUUUAGAACAUUUUGAUUUAGUUGAUUUAGUAUGCUACUGGAUUUAGUAUGCUAGUUGAUUUAGUUGAUUUAGGAUGCUACUGGAUUUAGUAUGCUAGUUGAUUUAGUUUAUUUAGGAUGCUUUGCUCAUAUUGCUUUAGGAAAAUAUCACAUGCUACUGUUUUUCUUUCCUGUGAAGUGAAUCAUUAAUCCUUUGCUCAUAUUGCUUUAGGAAAAUGGUGCCACCACCACCACCACUAUGUCGACUGUGCAAGUCAAGGUGUGCCAGCAGCCUUGCAACUGGCAAGCUGUUUGGCAUCUACUUCCAGCCGAGUUUUCAUCAUGCGGCAGUAAGAAAUUAGAUGAAAUGUAAUAACUAUUUUAUUUUUAGUGUUGGCAUUACUGCAUUGUGUCAUUUUUCUUUUCUUACACAGACCGUCCCAUGCAAUGUGAGGUUGAUAUUCAACAAGCUGACAGGAGACACUGUGACAUUUGAGGCUCCUGGGGGGCCGUACACUAUGGAGGUCGAGAAAGGACGCAAUAUGUUGCAGAUUGGAGGAAAUGGAUGGGCCCGUUUCCUCGCCCGCAUGCGUCUUACUGGUGGUGAGUUGAUCAGCUUCUCCUUCAGAGCAGAAAGACCCAAGCUGGCUGUCAUUUAUCUCAACCUGGUGGAAGAUGAUGAAGAUGAUGAAGAUGAUGAAGAUGACGAAGAUGAUGCAGAUGAAGAAGAUGAUGAAGAUAAUGAGGACCCACUUCAUGAAGCCAUCGUAGCUCAAAGAAUGAGGCUGAGCGAGGAGGAGGUGUGCAACCUAUGGGACAUAAUUCCACCACGUGCUGACUUCGUCGGGGUGCCAUUCGUGACCCGCCUGACAAGUACCAUGGUCGAUCGACAUGAUAUGGUAUGUUAUACUUACAAAUGCAAAUUAUCCGAUGAUAUGCUUAGUGUAGAGUACAAUGAUAUGCUGUGUGGAAUCUAGACUUAAUAGAAAUAUAUUUGCAAGAGUAUGUGUGAGGCUAUUUAUUAAUUGAUAUGUUUUUCCUAUUCAGAAAUUGCCAAAGAACCUAUCUGUGAGUUGUGGUAUCGAGCCUGAUGAAGAAGGCUCAGCUGGACUACGUCUUACCACAAGGGGCUCCGUCACCACCUGUACUUACCGCAUGGACACAGACGGUCGCACACACUUAAACUUGGUUGGGUGGAAGAGAUUCCUCGUUGGCAAGAAUCUUCGUGUUGGACAGGCCAUCCUAAUUACUAUCAGGAACACCCACCGCCCAGGCUUGAGGAUGAUGAUCAUCGUCGAUAUCAUCUAGAACUACAUAUGUGUGUGUGGCUAUAUCAUCUAGAACUACAUAUGAUGAUCGUCGUUGAUAUCAUGUAGAACUACAUAUGAUGAUCGUCGUCGAUAUCAUCUAGAACUAAAUAUGAUGAUCAUCGUCGAUGUCACCUUGUACUGCUUGAGGAUGCAUCUUGAGUAUAUAUGAAAUUGUUAUCUAGUACUCCCUCGGUUCCAAAUUACUCGUCGUGGUUUUAGUUCCAAUUUGAACUAAAACCACGACGAGUAAUUUGGAACCGAGGGAGUACUACCUAGUACCUAUAAUGCUUUAUGAAAUUGAUAUCUAGUAGUACCUAGUAUCUGGAAAUUGCAGUUUAUUGAAGCUGGAGUGGGGAAAUGGUGAAAGAUAUAACAGUAGCGCGGGCUCAGGAAAUUGCUACAGCUAACUAAUAGCAGCGCGUUCAGGAAACGCUCUGCUGAUAUAGUCAAUAGUAGUAGCGCGGGCGCAGACAGCGCUACUACUAACAGUUAGCUGUAGCGCCUUAUUGGUAGCGCGGGAGCCCGCACUGCUGAUAGCCUCAAAACCCGCGCUACUACUAGGGUUUUCCCUAGUAGUGGAAUUUGCUACUACUCUGCCCUAAACCAUAUUUUAGAGUUGUUAGACAUGCAAAAUAAGUGCACCAUGUUAAUCUAUGCGUUUUUCUAGACCAUUUACAUAUAAAGUUUGUUUAAUUCGCAGCUACGGUUAUUUAGUUAUGAAAUAAACCAUUUUAACAUGUCAUUUAGCAAAUUAAAUGCAAAUACUUAAACAUUUUUAACAUGGAUGAAAGUUGGAUAUUAUGAAACUACAUGAAAUUGUAAGCAUUUUACAUAUAUAAAACAUUUUAAUCUGAUGCCCGGUUUGUGAAUUAUUAAUGCAUGAACAUGGAGGGUUUUUCUGUAAAACUGUUUUGUCUUGACAAUAAGUAAAUUCGCAACAGGGAAAAAAAUGCAUCGUCUUGGAACUAAAUUGAACUGGGCUGGGGGAGCUUCUCAAGUUCAGCCUUGGGCCAUCGGUGACGAGGUGGAGGCAGGGCGGCUUGGAGCGAUGCAGUCAAUGCUCGAGGACGAGCGUCCGCUCGAUGUAGGACGGGGCUCGAAGCAGAGGAGGUCACAGGCAGGCUCCUGCGACGCGUGCGAUGCAGGGGAGGCACAUCCAUGGCGAGGCAGGGGCGUGACUGAAGGCUGCAGGCGGCGAGCUGUAAGCGGGGGAGGCCGGGAACGGGUGGCGGAACAACGGGGACGGUGAGGACUUGGCUUGCGGCGUGAUGCAGGGAUGAACAGGACACGGCGCACUCGAUCUCCGGCUAGCAGGCGACUACGGGAUCGACGAAGCCGGGAACGGAUGGAUCGGGGCAUGGCGUUGAUGUCGGCUUGAACUACGUCGGUAUUUUCCCAAAGAGGAAGGGAUGAUGCAGCACAUCAACGAUAGGUAUUUUCCUCAGUGAUGAGACCAAGGUUAUUGAACCAGAAGGAGAACCACGCAACACCACCUAAACAGCUCCUCCACACAAAGAACAAAUACUUGCAACCCGACGUCGUAAACAGAUUGUCAGUCCCUUUCGGGUAACGGCGCCAGAAAUUGGCACGUGGAUGGGAGAAAGUUGUAGUAGAUUGAAUAAAUAGAUCACGAAUAAAAUAAAGUGCAGCAAAGUAUUUUUGUGUUUUUGGAUUAAUAGAUCUUAAAAUAAAAGCAAAUUAAAAUAGAUCUCAAAGGAAAAUAUAAUAAAGAAGAGACCCGGGGGCCGUAGAUUUCACUAGUGGCUUCUCUCGAGAAAAAUAGCAUACGAUGGGUAAACAAAUUACUGUUGGGAAAUUGAUAGAACUUCAAAUAAUCAUGAAGAUAUCCAGGCAAUGAUCAUUAUAUAGGCAUCACAUCCAAGAUUAGUAGACCGACUCCUACCUGUAUGUAGUACUAUUACUCCACACAUCGACCACUAUCCAGCAUGCAUCUAAUGUAUUAAGUUCAGGGAAAACGGAGUAAUGCAAUAAGAUUGAUGACAUGAUGUAGACAAGAUCUAUUUAUGUAUAAAUAUACCCCAUCUUGUUAUCCUUAAUGACAACGAUACAUACGUGUCGGUUCCUCUUCUGUCACUGGGAUCAAACACCGUAAGAUCGAACCCAUCACAAAGCACCUCUUCCCAUGGCAAGAAAAAUUGAUCUAGUCAGCCUAGCGAAACCAAAUAUUCAAAGAAGAAAUACGAGGCUAUAAGUAAGCAUGCAUAUAAGAGAUCAAAAGACUCGAAUAACUUUCAUGGAUAAAAACAUAGAUCUGAUCAUAAACUCAAAGUUCAUUGGAUCCCAACAAACACACCACAAAAGAGUUACAUCAAAUAGAUCUCCAAGAGACCAUUGUAUUGAGAAUCAAGAGAGAGAGAGAGAGAGAGAGAGAGAGGAAGCCAUGUAGCUACUAACUAUGGACCCGUAGGUCUACAAUGAACUACUCACGCAUCAUCGGAGAGGCACCAAUAAGGAUGAUGAACCCCUCCAUGAUGGUGUCUAGAUUGGAUCCGUGCUUUCUGGAACUUGCGGCGGCUGGAAUUGAUUUUCGUCAACUCCCCUAGGGUUUCUGAAAUAUUGGGGUAUUUAUAGAGCAAAGAGGCAGUGCAGGAGAAUGAUUGUAAAACAUCCAAGAAUGAUAAUAUGACAACAUGGAACAAUAAAAAAUUAUAGAUAUGUUGGAGACAUAUCAGCAUCCCCGAGCUUAAUUCCUACUCGUCCUCGAGUAGGUAAAUGAUAAAAACAAUUUUUUUGAUGUGGAAUGCUACCUAUGUUCAUCACAUAUUCUUUUCUUUGUAGCAUCGACAUUUGGACUUUUAUAUGAUUCAAAGCAAUAGUCUAGUUUCGACAUGAAGAUUUCAAUACCCAAGCAUAUCAACAAGCAACCAUAUCUUUCAAAAUAUCAACACUAAAUCAAGUUAUCCCUAGCCUAUUAUGCUCAAUCAUUGAUCCAUUCAUGAAACACACUCGCAUAUUAGCUACACCCAAUGCUCAAGUACGAUCAUAGUGCCCCUUAGAUGGUGCUUUAUAAGAGAAUAUGAAUACUCAAAUAAAAAUAAAAAUUGCAUAAAGUAAAAGAAAGGCCCCUCGUAGAGGGAAGUAGGGAUUUGUAGAGGUGCCAGAGCUCAAAGCGAAAAAAGUAGAGAUAAAAACAUUUUGGGUGGCAUGCUUUUCCUGUCAACGAAAAUGAUCGAGUAGUUCCCAAUACUUUCCAUGCUAGAUAUAUCAUAGGCGGUUCCCAUAUAGAAAAUAAACUUUAUUCCUUUUUCCACCAUACUUUCACAUUUCACGGCUAACCGAAUCCACGGGUGCCGUCCAUACCAACACUUUCUAAGGAAUUUAUUAUUUGACAACAUAAAGUAAAUUCUUUUUCAUUUUGGGACUGUGCAUCCCUAAUACCUUUGUUGUACUCUCAUGCAAUGACAAGUGAAUAAACACUCAUCUUAAGAAUAACACAUCUAGCAUGGAAAAAAAUCAGCCACCCCCUACCGUUUCAUGAGCGGUACGAGCACAUGAAAGAGAAAUUUAUUUUGAAAUUUAGAGAUGGCACAUACAAAUUUGCUUAGAACGGUACGGAAAUACCGCAUAUAGGUAGGUAUAGCGGACUCAUGUGGCAAAACUGGUUAGGAUUUUGGAUGCACAAGUAGUGAUCAUACUUAGUGCAAAUGAAGGGUAGCAAAAGACUGGGAAGCAUCCAACCAAGAAAUGAAAAAUCUCAUAAGCGAUCAUUAAGCAUAACUAACACCAAAUAAUGCACCACAAGUAGGACGUAAUUUCAUUGCAUAAUUAUUGACUUUCGUGCUUGCAUAGGGAAUCACAAACCUUAACACCAAUAUUCUUAAUAAAGCAUAAUUACUCAUCAACAUGACUCACAUAUUAUAUCAACAUAUCGCAAAACUAUUAUAAGGAAUCAAUUUUGUUUUUUCCAAUGAUCUUCAUAAAUUUUUUUAUUAUAUCCCUCUUGAAUAUCUAUCACUUUGGGACUAAUUUCAUAUGUUGCUUUUGAUAGCUCAAGCAAAUCUAAGUGAAGAACAUGAGCAUAAAAUUUUCUUCUCUCAAAAUAAUUUAAGUGAAGCAAGAGAGAAUUUCUUAAUUUUUUUUACUAACUCUCAAAUAGAUCCAAGUGACGCAUGUGAGUAUUUCUUCAAAAAUAAUAAAGCACAACAUGCUCAAAAACAUAUAAGUGAAGCACUAGAGAAAUUUCAUAGCUCAUAAAGAUUUAAGUGAAGCAUAGAGAGCAAUUUUAACAAGUCAUAGCAUACUUUUGGCUCCCUCAAAUAGGUGUGUCCAGCAAAGAUAGAUGACUUAAAACAAAAGGCAAAACAAGCAAAUACUCAUAUCAUACAAGACACUCCAAGCAAAACUCAUGAUAUGUAAACAAUAAAAAUAUAGCUCCAAGUAUAAUACCGAUGGUCGUUAGAAGAAAGAGGGUAUGUCACUUGGGGCAUCCCCAAGCUUAUUUUCUUGCUUCUCUUUUAGAUAAUAGCUUGGGAUGCCACGGGGCAUCCCCAAGCUUAGGCUCUUCUUACUCCUUAUUCCUUCAUCCAUCGUGAUCUCACCCAAAACUUGAAAACUUCAACCACACAAAACUCAACAAAACCUUCGUGAGAUCCGUUAGUAUAACAAAGCAAAUCACUACUAUAAGUAUUGUUGCAAACCCAUUCAUAUUUUAUUUUUGCAUUAUAUCUACUAUACUCCAACUUCUAUAUGGCUUAUACCCUCCAAUACAAACCGUAGAUUCGUCGAAAUAAGCACAAUACGCAAAGAAAACAGAAUCUGUCAAAAACAGAACAAUCUGUAGUAAUCAAGGAACUUCGUAUACUUCUGUAACUCCAAAAAUUCUGAAAAAUUAGGACAACGUGGAAAACUUGUAUAUCAAUCGUUUGUAAAACAAUUCAGAGCAAAAGCAUAUUUCUGUGAUUUAUGGAAAUUAUUUUUCUAAGUGCAAAAUUUCUCUUUUUCAACAAGAUCAAAUCAACUAUCACCCAACAUGAUCCCAAAGGCUUUCCCUGGUACAAACACUAACUAAAACACACAAAAAAAUCAUAAUAGUAGCAUAUUUGUGCAAACACUCAAGAACAGAAAGAAAAAGACAAAAAUAUAUUUUAUUCAUUGGGUUGCCUCCCAACGAGUGCUCUCGUUUUAUGCCCCUAGCUAGGUACAAUGCAUAGAUCUAAGUAUUGUCAUCUUUAGUUUCCAACUCUUCAAUCAAACACUUUGAAUUCUUCAAGGAUUUAGCAUAAAAAAAUUCAAUAACAAUACUUCUAGGAAAGAUAUUGAAAAAUUCAUUCUUGCAAGUAGGAUCUCUUAUAACUUCAACAAACUAAGGGUGAAUGCUAAUCAUCUUAAGAUCCUCUUUGUUACUAUUAGGAGUUGCACCCUUGUUUUUAGUGUCUUGAGUAAUCUUGCCUAUUUUGACUAGAGUUUUUUUCAAUAGUUUUAGCGGAGAAAAAAAUCUGUGCUUAGAGUACUAAAAAUUUCCUCCAACUUAUCAAUUCUAGCGGGACUCUCCUCUGUUCUUUCGUUGAAUGCGGGUUCCUUUUCUUUUACUCCCUCCGUUCCAAAAUAGAUGACUCAACUUUAUACUAACUUUAGUACAAAGUUAGUACAAAGUUGGGUCAUCUAUUUUGGAACGGAGGGAGUAGUACUUUAAGGGCAUCUCUUACUUUUGACCUAAUUCUAUUAGCAAGAUUGUGCAUCCUUUUAUCUAUUUUUCAAUAUUUUCUUCUGUGAGCAUUUUCUUUUCAAUAGCAUUUAGCCUCUCCAUAACAUGUUCGACAGUUAAAGUUGUUUCGUUCACCAAACGAGGUGGCGAUCCCACUAAAUUCCCCAUAGCAUUAAAUGCAUCAAGAUAGGGGCACAUCAGGAAAUUUCUAUCGGUAAUCGUAUCAAGGAAGAAUCUAUACCAAGUGGUGAUGCCCACAUAGAAACAGCAAAGAAGAACAACGGUAGAUUGCUUGCGAUAUAUCUAUUAUGAGCAUUGCAAAUCCUGUACCAAACAUCUUUUAAAUUCUCCCCUCCCCAUUUAUUAAAGUUAACAACCUCGUUCUCGGGGGUGCAAGUAAUAGAAUAAGAACUGUUCAUAACGAUAAAAAGUGGCAAACAAAAUUGCACACAAAAACAUAUCUGACGAGAAAACGGCGAACAAAAAAGAGGGCAAAUAAAACGACAAAUUUUUGUGAAGUGGGGGAGAGGAAAAUGAGAGGCAAAUGGAAAAUAAUGUAAAUUGCAAGGAGAUGAGAUUUGUGAUUAGGAACCUGGUAGAUGUUGAUGAUGUAUCCCCGACAACGGCGUCGGAAAUUCCUUUUGAUGUCGGCUUGAACUACAUCGAUAUUUCCCCAAAGAGGAAGGGAUGAUGCAGCACAACAACGGUAGUCAUUUCCCUGAGUGAUGGGAUCAAGGUUAUUGAACAGUAGGAAUUUUUGUGUUUUUGGAUUAAUGAAUCUUAAAAUAAAAGCAAAUAAAAAUAGAUCUCGAAGGCAAAUAUAAUAAACAAGAGACCCUGGGGCCGUAGAUUUCACUAGUGGCUUCUCUCGAGAAUAAUAGCAUACGGUGGGUAAACAAAUUACUGUUGGGCAAUUGAUAGAACUUCAAAUAAUCAUGAUGAUAUGCAGGAAAUGAUCAUUAUAUAGGCAUCGCGUCCAAGAUUAGUAGACCAACUCCUUUCUGCAUGUACUACUAUUACUCCACACAUCGACUGCUAUCCAGCAUGCAUCUAGUGUAUUAAGUUCAUUGAAAAAAGGAGUAAUGCAGUAAGAAUGAUGACAUGAUGUAGACAAGAUCUAUUUAUGUAGAAAUAGACCCCAUCUAGUUAUCCUUAAUGGCAACAAUACAUACGUGUCGGUUCCCCUUCUGUCACUAGGAUCAAGCACCGUAACAUCGAACCCAUCACAAAGCACCUCUUGCCAAGCCAAGAAAAAUUGAUCUAGUCAGCCUAACUAAACCAAAGAUUCCAAGAAGAAACAUGAGGCUAUAAGUAAGCAUGCAUAUAAGAGAUCAAAAGACUCGAGUAACUUUCAUGGAUAAAAACAUAGAUCUGAUCAUAAACUCAAAGUUCAUCGGAUCCCAACAAACACACCGCAAAAGAGUUACAUCAAAUAGAUCUCCAAGAGACCAUUGUAUUGAGAAUCAAGAGAGAGAGAGAGAGAGAGAGAGAGAGAGAGAGAGGAAGCCCUGUAGCUACUAACUACGGACCCGUAGGUCUACAAUGAACUACUCAUGCAUCAUCGGAGAGGCACCAAUGAGGAUGAUAAACCCCUCCAUGAUGGUGUCUAGAUUGGAUCUGUGGUUUCUAGAACUUGCGGCGGCUGGAAUUGAUUUUCGUCGACUCCCCUAGGGUUUCUGGCGUAUUGGGGUAUUUAUAGAGCAAAGAGGCGGUGAGAGAGGCGGACGAGGUGGGCACAACCGACCUGGGCGCGCCUAGGCCCCCAGGCGCGCCCUGGUGGGUUGUGCUCCCCUCAGAGCCCCCCUCAGGUACUUUCUUGGCGCAUCGUGUGUCCUCUAGUCCAAAAAAAAUCACCAAAAAGUUUCACUGCAUUUGGACUCGGUUUGGUAUUGAUUUUCUUCAAAGUAAAAAAACAAGCAAAAAACAGCAACUGGCCCUGGGCACUAUGUCAAUAGGUUAGUCCCAAAAAAUGAUAUAAAGUUGCUAUGAAAUGAUUGUAAAGCAUCCAAGAAUGAUAAUAUAAGAGCAUGGAACAAUAAAAAAUUAUAGAUAUGUUGGAGACGUAUCAGCCAUCCCCGGAUCCUUCGGCGAACGAGGGCGUUGGGCCCCAUGCGGUUGACGGCGCGUUGGGGUUCAUGACGUCAGGGAGGUUCCUGCGAGGGGAGAGAGGGAGGGCUGAGAGGAGAGGAAUGGAAGAAGGGAAGGAAGGAGGAGAAGGGCAAGGGCGCGAGCGACGCGAGGUUGGGACUCCGGUGGUCUGGCUGGCUGGCGGGGCUGCUCUCCUGCUCAGGAUCGAGCAAGAAGGAGACUACAGGGAUGGGGCAUCCUAUCCUAUUGCUUGGGGCGGUCAGGGUCGCUGGAUCCUCGAUCUAAUGGCUCACAAUGAGUGGAGGUUUCUGCAUUGGAUCUGGUUGGAUUGGACAGGAGGGGAAAUCGAGGUGGAGACCAGGUGGGCGGCGGCGUGCUCGGGAUUGGAGGGAGUUUAUCUGGCUAGGGUCUAGGGUUAGCCACUAAUGUGAAGGAAAUAUGCCCUAGAGGCAAUAAUAAAGUUGUUAUUUUAUAUUUCCUUAUUCAUGAUAAAUGUUUAUUAAUCAUGCUAGAAUUGUAUUAACCGGAAACUUGAUACAUGUGUGGAUACAUAGACAAAACACCGUGUCCCUAGUAAGCCUCUACUAGACUAGCUCGUUAAUCAAAGAUGGUUAAGUUUCCUAACCAUGGACAUGCGCUGUCAUAUGAUGAAUGGGAUCACAUCACAAGAGAAUGAUGUGAUGGAAAAGACCCAUCCGUUAGCUUAGCAUAAUGAUCGUUCAAUUUUAUUGCUAUUGCUUUCUUCAUGUCAAGCACAUAUUCCUCUGACUAUGAGAUUAUGCAACUCCCGGAUACCGGAGGAAUGCCUUGUGUGCUAUCAAAUGUCACAACAUAAUUGGGUGAUUAUAAAGAUGCUCUACAGGUAUCUCCGAAGGUGUUUGUUGGGUUGGUAUAGAUCGAGAUUAGGAUUUGUCACUAUAUGUACCGGAGAGGUAUCUCUGGGCCCUCUCAGUAAUACACAUCAUAAGAAGCCUUGCAAGCAAAGUGACUAAUGAGUUACUUGCAGGAUGAUAUAUUACGGAAUGAGUAAAGAGACUUGCCGGUAACAAGAUUGAACUAGGUAUGAAGAUACCAACGAUCGAAUCUCGGGCAAGUAACAUACCGAUAGACAAAGGGAAUUACAUAUGUUGUCAUAAGGUUCGACCGAUAAAGAUGUUCAUAGAAUAUGUAGGAGCCAAUAUGGGCAUCUAGGUCCCGCUAUUGGUUAUUGACCGGAGAGGUGUCUCGGUCAUGUCUACAUAGUUCCCGAACCAGUAGGGUCUGUACGCUUAACGUUCAUUGACGAUAUAGUAUUAUAUGGGUUAUGUAUGUUGGUGACCGAAUGUUGUUCGGAGUGCCGGAUGCGAUCACAGACAUGACGAGGAGCUCCGGAAUGGUCUGGAGGUAAAGUUUCAUAUAUUGGAUGAUAUGGUUAGGCCAAGGGGUCAGGCCUACGGGGCGAUAAGUCGGUGCAAAAGGAUGUUUUGCAGAGGUCAGGGUCCAAACGACGGAGACCUUGGUGGGCAUUUGGUCCUGGAGUCUGAGUCAGACUCUUGCCUUUCGGGCAAAACUGACUUUGAGGAGGUUUUUGCUCCAAGUCUCGACCCCAGGGCUCAACAUGUAAAUAGAGGGGCGGGGCUAGCACCAAAGGGACAUCAAGAUUCACCCAGUCGUGUGUCGGCAACACCGUCCCCUCUAGUUUAUCCUCCGUCAUAGUUUCCGUAGUACUUAGGCGAAGCCCUGCGAAGAUUGUUCUUCACCAACACUGUUACCACGCUAUCGUGCUGCCAGAGCUCAUCUAUUACUUCACCUGUCUUGCUGGAUCAAGAAGGCGAGGGCGUCAUCGAGCUGAACAUGUGCUGGAUGCGGAGGUGUCGUAUGUUUGGUACUUGAUCGGGAUGGACUGUGAAGGUGUACGACUACAUCAACCACGUUGAUAAACGCUUCCGCUUAGCGAUCUUCAAGGGUAUGAAGAUGCUCUCCCUCUCUCAUUGCUAUGCUUCUCCUAGAUAGAUCUUGCGUGGGCAUAGGAAUUUUUAUGAAAUUGCAUGCUAUGUUCUCCAACGGUGGCAUCCGAGCCAGGUCUAUGUGUAGAUGAUAUGCACGAGUAGAACACAAAGAGUUGUGGGCGGUGAUCUUCAUACUGCUUACCACCAAUGUCUCAUUUUUAUUCGGCGGUAUUGUUCGAUGAAGUGGCCUGGACCAACCUUACAUGACCAUGUUCAUGAGACCGGUUCCACUGACAGACAUGCAACUAGUUUUGCAUAAAGGUGGCUGGCGGGUGUCUGUUUCUCCUACUUUAGUUGAAUCAAAUUUGACUAUGGCCGGUCCUUGUUGAAGGUUAAAACAACAAACUUGAUAAAUCACCAUUGUGGUUUUGUGCCGUAGGUAAGAACGGUUCUUGCUAGAAGCCCGUAGUAGCGACAUAAAAUUUGCAACAACAAAGUAGAUUACAUCUAACUUGUUUUUAUAGGGCAUGUUGUGAUGUGAUAUGGCCAAGACAUGAUGUGAUAUAUGUUGUUGUUUGAGAUGAUCAUGUUUUGUAAAAGUUAUCAGCGACUGGAAGGAGCCUUAUGCUUGUCACUUUAUUGUAGAGUGUUUCCUAUGACUCAAGAAAGAGAAAAGGAAACUAAAAACACAAAAGUCUUCACGCUUCAUAAUCCUCGCAUGACUAUCCAAGUCUUCAAGGUCACACUAAUUUCUUCACUUUCAAAAUCUUCAGGAGAACCAAAGUCUUGAGCUGAAGACAUACAUUUUUACGGGUCGACUUUCAUCAUAAAUAUUAAACUCCUCAUUGACUUAUAGAGCCUGUGUACACUCACAGACAUAUUAGUCCCUUAACCUAUAAGUCUUCAAUACACCAAAAUCACUAAGGGGCACUAGAUGCACUUACAAUCUCCCCCUUUUUGCUGAUUGAUGACAAAUAGGUUAAGUUUUCAAUGGGGAUAAACAUAUAAAUUGAAAGUGCUAAGAAUUGAGGAAUUUGAUGCAAGAUAUAGAAGAACUCCCCCCUGAAGAUCUGCAUAUGUGAGGAAUUUGCUUUCAAAGAGCAAUGCACAUUGAAGAGUAGAAUCAUGGGGAUCUCCCCCUAUAUCUUGUAAUUCAUACACGCAUUUAACAUAUCGAAUGAAGAAUUUGAAAUGAAUGAUGAAAUAUGGUGACUGAUGUAAUUCAGCAUGCAUGCAAUAACAUAUAUGAGGAAAUAGCAUGCAGAAAACAGAGCAAAAGUAUCAGACCACCAUAGGACUUAAGUUUACAACUCGAUCCAACAAAUACUUCAGAAGAGCGAGAGUUGUAACUUAACAAAAAAACACCCAAAUAUAUAGAACCGCUUGAAGACUAACUCAAAUUUCUCUCCCUUUGUCAUCAAAUGACCAAAAGGGACGAAAAGUGAGGACUAACGCCCCUGAAGAAUAUCAUAAUGAUUUCGAUGCAGGAGCGCCAAUGUUGUUGGGGCCGUCCGUUGUUGUAGGGCUUGCUGCAGUGUCGUCCAAAUCUUUAGCUUUGUCCGUCGCGUGUGAUGAAGAAUAUGAGCUGACGACCAGCUAAGGAACUUUGACCUUCUUGAAUUUCUUCGAAGGUGGCUGAGACCAGUCAAAGUCCUGUCGGAAGUCCAUCUCCUUGAGUGCAUCGCCAGUGUAGAUAUGUGAAAGAAUAGCCCAGGUGCGGUCAAAGACUUGAUGCAGAUAGUAGUGAUUUUUCUUCACAGAGUUUUGAGUGGCAGUCAUGUUCUGAACAAUUGCACCAAACUGACGCUUGACCCACUUGUGAUUUCUAUCCACCUUCUGAUGAAGACUUAGGAGCAACUCACGAUCAGUCAUCACUCGUGGAGCAGUGGCCUGAGGAUUUUGCUUUGAAACAUUUGCAGCAGUGUCAUGAGUGGUAGAGUCAUCAUUUGUAGAGUAGGAUGCUACCUUUCGAAAUUGUCCAUCCAAAGGACGAAUGCAUUCAUCAAUAAUUGCAACCUUACCCUUCUCAUCAGCCGAGGUAAUAGUCCGCUUGAGGACUUCAAGUGGUGGAAAAUAGCUGAGAUGAUUCUGAAAGUUAUCCUUGUAAUGAAUUGAAGUCCUUGAUAUGAUGGAUUUCAUGAUCCAGGGAACGUAAGGCUUCAACUCAAAAGGUGAAAAAGCUGCAUUGGCCAAAGUCCUCAUGAAGAAGUCAUGAUAGUUGAUUGGGAUGCCAUGCAUGAUGUUGAAAAGCAAGUUCUUCAUGAUGCCAACAACAUCUUCUUCUUCUUCAGAGUUGUGGCCCUUAAUGGGACUGAGGGUCUUGGCUAGAAUGCGAUAGACAGUCCCUGGCAGAUACAUCAAAUCCUUGACAAUGAAAUUUGUCCUUGGAGCUUGGCCAGCCUUCAAAGGCUUCAUCAGCACUUGCAUCAGAUGAUUCUAUAGUUCAGGUUCUUCAUAGAGCUUCAGUGCUCCUUCAGUGGGCGGACUGACUGGGACGACGUGAAGCAAUUCAGAAGCCAGAGCUUUGUGAUGAGUAUUUUCUGUCAUGCAAUCCAGAACCCAUGAAUUCACAUCGUCAACAUUGCCAGUCAAAUGCAAAGUGGCAUAGAAAUGAAGAAUUAGCUCUUCAUUCCAGUCGCAGAUGUCUAUGCAGAAGUUGAGCAGCCCUACGUCAUGAAGAACAAUGAGGACUGGAGUGAAACAUGGAAGUGACCCCAUAUCCACAUGAGGAAUUUGCAUAUGGUCAAACACUUUUUCUUUGUCAAACGGUAGUGUUGAAUAGAAGUUCAUCUGAGAAGCAGUCCAGCAGCGCUUGCGGCGUAGGCAAGCAGAGUCAUAUGGAUUAAAAUCUGAGAAGAAAUGGCGCUCAACAAAGAAGUCAUCAGCCUUGAACUUCUGCUUCUUGGAGUGAGGAUUCUGUGGCUUCGGCUGAAGAUUUGCAGUGAAAGUCUUCACAGCCGAUUGAAGCACAACCUCUGGAGCCUCGGGCUGAGGAAUCUCUGGAGCAGUUUCUUCUUCUGUCUUCUUCUCCAUUUCAUCAGCACUAGUGGUUGGAACUUCUUCAGGGAUGGAGUGAAGCUAAGCUUAAUGUUGAUCAGAACCCGUGUGAAUUUCUUUAGUUUACAUGUGGGAUGGAUUAAUUUUUUGUAGAGGAGUGGUCAGAGGCGAAUUGGGAUGAUGACUUUCCCAAUAAUCACCAUUCAUCACUGGAGUCGUAGACCCGAUGUCCAUAUCCUCUUCUUCAGCUUCAACUUCUUCAACACCGGCCUCUUCAACAGUGAACUGAGGCAGCAGCAAUGAUACUUGUAGCAGUGAAGGGAUAUUAUCCACUUCAAUUUCAUCAUCCAACUACUCUGACGAAGCAGCAGAUGGAUUUUCUUCAUCAAUGUCAUCAGUGAUGAAAUAUUCUUCACAUGUCAAUGUACAAAAGUAUGGGCACUUCUAUACCCCUUACUAGUGCAUGAGCAGUCGCAGCCACACCUGCAGCAGGGCCUGGCAAGGCAGGGGAAAGCAAAGCCCGAAGACUACCAAAACAGACACUCGAAGCACGAGGGGUGAGGGGCAAGCUGGACCACCCACGGCAAGGGCCUUAUCGGGCAACCUGCACCAGCACCAGCAAGACCAUCACCCUUGGGGCUGAUAGCUCUGACACCAUCGACAAUGUUAAGACCAAAAUCUGGAAAGUGCAUGCUCGAUAGCAUGCAAUUCCUCAUAAAGAUUGACGACCCACAGAUCCACGUGGGACCAGAAGACGAAGACCCCCAGCAAGAACCUUGCCGGGGAGGACUCCAAGGCCCCGGCAAGCCUUGCGGGGGACGACCGCUGUGCCGCGGCCAGAUUCGUGCCUAAGAAGGUUUCACCACUUCACCAGCACUCCAGUGCAAUGAUAGCCAAGCUAACUAAGCAGGCACCUGUGUGGAGGCAUGCAGAUCUUCGUGGAAGCUUACCAUUGUGCCAACGCAGAAGCUAGUUAGCCAUCAUGGCAUUGCAUGCCUUCUCAACUUGGAUGCACGUCAAGGUGAGAAGGAGCGGCGAAGGAUGAGAUGGCCUCUGUUGUCGUCCCCAAUAAAGCGAGAGGACAUGUAGGCAACGCAUUAAAUGCGCUUGUCCUACGUUGAUUGAGUGAUAAGCUCAUACAACUGUAGCUUGCCACCUCCUGUGUGCCACUAUGGCAACCCCUUUGCAUAUAAUAGGAGGCCCGAGGCAUACAAAGAGAGGAUUCAGACUUUUGGACAAAGCAAGCACCGUAGCUAGUUCAAAGGCUCAAGAACACACAUAUAACCAGACAAGCAGGACUAGGGUAUUACGCAUCUUUGCGGCCCGAACCUGGAUUAAAAAUCCCCUGUGUGCUAACGGCUCGACCUGCUCUUCGUGCAACUAAUCCCCCGCCGAAUGUAGAAGGGAUCCUUGUUACCUCAUAGGUGAUCGGUUUCCCCGACAUCACCAAACGGAACAAUUUCCUUAUGGCAUGAUAGUCAACGGAACUGCAUCGAUUGGAUUCUCAAAAGAGCUCGUCAAGUUUUCACUUUCUUCGGAGCUGAAGACUCUAAGGCGUCUGAUGCUUUCCUCUUCUUUGCUGCUGCCCUUUUGGCAGCCUUGGUUUUCUUCUCUUCUGAUGCAGAAGGAAGUAGAGUGCUUUUCAUCUAUGAAGACUUUGCAGGGGGAGCAGAUGAAAGAGGCACAGUUUCUUCAGGCACAACUGUUUCAGUUUCCCUGGCAGGUUCAGAUUCUUCAGGCACAGUGGCAGAUUCUUCAGCUGGCCUGGAUUGAUCUUCAGGCGCAACAUUGGUGGUUGCCCUGGCAGUUUCAUCAGGAGCUAGAAUAGCAUCAUCAGCCCUGGCACUCUCAGUUUCUUUAGCAGCCUGAGUUUCAUCAGCGGUGCUGGCAUGUUCUUCAGUGGGCUGAGCAGAUGCUUCACCAUGAGGAAUUUCUUGUUGCGCUCCAGCAGCAACAUUGGGCUUUAGGCCUUUUGCCAGCUUGACGAAUCUGACUUUGGCACCUAGUCAAUCAGCUUUAUAUGCGUCAAAUUCAGCAUUGAGUGCUUUUAUUUCAGAUUGGAUAGUCACAAGUUCUUCAGUUGUCAUUUUCAGGACAUUUUUCUCCAGAUAAUGCUCCUUCUUGUAUUGAGCUUUCUUCACUGAUCUAGCCUUCUCAAACUUCCAUUUUUCUUCAGGAAUGAAAGUAGUCAACACGUGACUUUGUCCUGGUGUGCCAAUGCAGUAGCUAGUUAGGGAGCGUGGCAUUGCAUGCCUUGUCAACCUGAACGCAUGUCAAGGCGAGGAGGAGCGAUGAAGGAUGAGAUGGCCUCUAUUGCCGUCCCCAAUAAAGCGAGAGGACACGUAGGCAACACAUUAAAUGCGCUUGUCCUACAUUGAUUGAGCGAUAAGCUCAUACAACUAUAGCUUGCCACCUCUUGUGUGCCACUGUGGCAACCCCUUUGUAUAUAAAAGGAGGCCAGAGGCAUACAGAGAGAGGAUUCAGACUUUCGGACAAAGCACACACCGUAGCUAGUUAAAAGGCUCAAGAACACACAUAUAACCAGACAAGCAGGACUAGGGUAUUACACAUCUUCGGCCUGAACUUGGAUAAAAAAACCCUGUGUGCUAAUGGCUCGACCUGCUCUUCAGACAACUAGUCCCCCGCCGAACAUAGAAGGGAUCCUUGUGACCCCAUAGGUGAUCAGUUUCCUCAACAUCUUUGGCGUGCCAGGUAGGGUAGUUUAGUUGUGAGAAUCUGGUCCAUAGUUAGUAUAGUAGUUCCUUCAUCGCCUUGGCUCCGAAGAAGAAGACGACCGCAACGAUUGGCCCGUCCGGGGCCGCUCCGCCCGCACCUGCGUGGACAGGCGACACGGAUGGCACUAGUGGUGGAGGAGAUCGAGAUCGUCCACACCAUCCGAAUACAAGAAGCCAGGCAGCCGGCAUCCUCCGUUGUGACGAUGGUGGUCAGCGCCCCACCGUGCCAAGGGAUGGAGCCAUGCUACCCGCGGGUUGUGCGGGGACCUCCAAGGGAAGGAGGUCGACCUUGCCAACGCACGCGUCGCGGUCCUCUCAGCUCAUGCGUGACGAACCGCGCUACGAUGUUGAAGACCCCGGGCGUCGUCGCGGCAAAAGCCCUCAGCGUCACUCUCAAGACACGCAGGGCUGAUAUGCACGCCAUGAUGUUGGCGAAAGAGCGCGCGGCCGCGGAAUCGUGAUGGGACUCCUUCUAACAUAGUUAGAAGUCCGAGUUCCUCCCAUUCCUCGCACUUGUCGCUACCACCCAUGCGAGCAGAAGCACUGUCGCGCGCGCAACUGCUCCUCAACUUUCCUCCUGCCUUGGAGAAGCAAGAAGAGUGGAGGGCUUCCAUCCAAAGCCUUAUUGGCCAUGCUAACAGGGAUGGCCACCGGGGAGCAAGCCCCUCGCGGCGCCGGAAUGAUGAGCCGACGCGUGUAGGCAGUGGAAGGGCUGAGGGUGCAAUGACCACGGUGCACUCCCCUCCACCACGGUCGGCCCGUCGGGGUGACGCCCGGUACAACAUGUCCACGGUGUCGUCGGACCCACUGACGCACCGUGACCAACGUCAAGUUUUUCGAGAGCGCCUCAAGGAGGAGCCCGGACUACUAUCGAGCGGCGACGGGAAGCACGUCACCAGUCUGAUAGGGGUGCUAGGCCUACUGCAUACAAGCCCGCCAGGGGAUGCUGGCGACUUGCCCUAUGCAAUAACAUGUCCAGCAUUCACCCAUGAGUUGCGGCAGUUCGAGUGGCCCAACACCCACGUGUUCAAACCGGAGGUCCCGGAGAAGUAUGACAGCAAAACUCAUCCGUCCGGGUGAGCAUUUACACCAUCGCGAUGCAAGCUGCCGGGGCACGAGACGACAAGGUACUCGCCAACUAUUUCCCGUUGGCACUCAAACCCAACAUCAGGUCAUGGUUGAUGCACUUUCCAAUAGACUCCAUCUCCUCUUGGUCCAAUCUUUGCCACGAGUUUGUUGGUGCCUUCAUGGGCGGCCACGUAGCUCCUGGACAUGCAAGUGAUUUGCACGUGAUCCCUUAGAGGGAUGGCAAGUCCUUGCACAAGUACAUACAGAGAUUCGGCCGUGUGCAGUACAACAUCCGUGACAUUCAUCUCGCCGCUAUCAUCAGCGGUUCCAUCAGAACAUGUGCAAUCGCAUGAUCCGUGAAGAGUUGGCCAUGAACAAGGUUGUAGAUGUUGCCGAGUUGUACAUCUUGGCUGACAGAUGUGCCCAAGCUGAGGAAGGAAGGAAGUACCCCGGCGAGGAUGCUGACGUGGGAAGUGAGUCAGAAGAUGAAGACGUCGUCGCCCCGGCAAAGAAGGGCCGGCGAUGCAACAAGAAGCGCAAGGGCAAGACCGUGCUUGCCGUCGAGGAAUCCAGCGACCCCAACACUGCCAAGAAGGCCAAGGUUGAUGACCCUGGAAAGGAUAUUGCCGGGUGCAACGCCUGCUGGGCUUUGGCGGCUGCCGGCAAGUCAGAGGGUUCCGACAAGCAGUACUGCAAGAUUCACCGUACCAAGGGCGACGACCUCCAGAACCUCCGCCAAGUGGAGCUACUGAUGGAGAAGCAAAGGGUUGAGUACGAGAGACGAGACAAGGAGAAGGGCCAAGGAGGCGCUGAAGGGUCUAGCAAGAAGCGCGACGGCAAAGGAGGACACGACAACAAGGAGAAGCAACAAGAGAGGCAUGCCCGAGGCCGUGACAAGAAAGAGGAGGAUGAUGAUUAUAAUGAUGAUGACGAAUCCAUCGAGCACGAGUUCUAGAAAGCGACAGAAGUCAUGUGUGUUGAUGGAGGUGCUUCGUUGCAUUCUUCCCACCACCAAUUGAAACAAUGGGCGCGUGAGAUUAAUGCAACGGAACCGAUGGUCGCGCUUAGAAGCCGUUGAGGUGGUCCCACACACCUAUCGUUUUUGACGCUGAGGAUCACCCUGAUCGCACAACUACGGUCAGGUGUUUGCCGUUGUUGGUAUCCCCAACAAUAUGCAACCUCAAGGUGACGAAGAUGUUAGUUGACGGUGGGGUAGUCCUUAACUUGAUCUCGCCGAACAUGGUCAAGAGGCUGCAGAUCCCCGAUGAAGAUCUCUAGGAGACAGGCAUGUUCCAAGGGAUCAAUCUGGGGAGGAGUCAGCCCAAGGGAAAGGUCACGCUUCUAGUUACGUUUGGUGGCGACCUCAACUACAGGACAGAGAGGAUCAUUUUCGAUGUCGCCGAGAUCCCGUUAACAUACAACGUGAUCCUUGGCCGCCCAGCGCUGGCCAAGUUCAUGGCAGCAUCGCACUACGCCUAUAACAAGCUGAAGAUGCCUGGCCCGAUGAGCAUCAUCACCGUUGGCAGCGAUAGGAAGGAUACGCUCAUUUGCACCGAUCAGCUCUAUCGAGAGGCGGUUGCAGCGUCCACCGCCAAGACACCUACUCCUACCGCCGAGAAGAAGACCAGUAAGGCCUCGGCCGCCGGCAAGACUCCUGGCUCCGGCAAGGGUUCCUGUAGUCACUCCGGCAGACGCACCCCUUCAGGGUGCUGUGUUCCCACUGAGGACGUUCCAGAGAGCUCUACCAGCAAGAGCAAGAAGUCUAAAGCGGCCCUGCCGGAAACCAACAAGGUGUCCGUCAAGGAGGAUGGCACGGGCGGAGCUUUUACCAUAAGCUCCACCCUUGACAGCAAAUAGGAAAGCGCGAUCAUAGGCUUCCUACAGGCGAAUGUCGACGUGUUUGCAUGGCAAGAAUCCGACAUCCCCAGCGUUCCCAGGGAGGUGGUUGAGCACCGUCUUGCUGUCUUCCCUCAUGCACGAACUGUCAAGCAAAAGGUCAGAAAGCAAGCUUUGGAGCGACAAGACUUUAUCAUCGAGGAGAUCAGGAAGUUGGAGGUGGCAGGUUUGGUCAAGGGAGUUCUCCACCCGACAUGGUUGGCCAAUCCAUUAGUAGUACUUAAGGCGAAUGGGUAGUGGAGGCUUCAUAUCGACUAUACUGAUAUCAAUAAAGCCUGAUAUUGGACUCCACUGUUAGGUGCGACUUGCUGUCGUUCCUUGAUGCUUACUCAGGAUAUCAUCAUAUCUUCAUGACGAAGGAAGAUGAAGAGAAGACCGCAUUCAUCACCCCAUGUGGUACGUACUGUUUUAUAUGAAUGCCUUUCAGGUUGAAGAGCGCUGGUUCGACAUUCGCCCGAGUGGUCCAAAUUGGUUUUGAGCCCCAGCUCCAUAGAAAUAUGGAAGCCUACAUGGAUGAUACAGUGGUUAAAACCAAGGACAGGGCCAUGCUCGUGCAGGACCUGGAAGAAACUUUUGCAAACUUGCGCAGGAUCAACCUCAAGCUCAACCCAGAGAAGUGCGUGUUCGGUGUUCCGUCCGGCAAACUUCUUGGGUUCUUUGUGUCUCAACAUGGAAUCGAAACAAAUCCCGACAAGAUCAAAGCAAUUGAACAGAUUGAGGCGCCAAGAUGAGUCAAGGAUGUCCAAAGGCUUGACGUCUGCGUCGCCGCCCUAAGUAGGUUCAUCUCUAAAUCUGCUGAGCGUGCCCUCCCCUUUUUCAAGAUUCUGAAAAAGGCGGGUCCAACGAAAUGGACCCCGGAGGCAGAGGCAGCACUGCAAGAUCUGAAGAGAUACCUCUCCUCUAUGCCAAUACUGGUCACGCCCAAGCCACAAGAGCCGUUGCUGCUGUACCUGGCGGCAACAAAUCAAGUGGUCAGUGCUACACUAGUGGCACAGAGAGAAGUUGAGGAGGAAGCAACGGCAGCGGCAAGGCCCUUAGGUGCAUAACUGGGUCUGGCAGGGCCUGAUCCCGGCGAGGGAGGAUCCCCGGCAGGACCUGAGCCCUGCAGGGAGGGCCCCCCGACAGGAUCCGAUCCUGGCAAGGCAGUGUUUGUGCAAGCAAGCAAGGUGAAACGGAAGAAAAAGGUGGUGUAGCACCCCAUCUACUUUGUCAGCUCCCUCUUGCAGGGGGCUAGGUCGAGGUAUUUUGACACGCAGAAGUUGCUUUUCAGCCUUCUUAUGGCCUCGAGGAAGCUACGCCACUAUUUUCAAGCGCACGAGAUCACCUUCGUCACUCGCCUCCCAUUGCAACAAAUUUUGCACAAUCCAGAUGCAACAGGGAGGAUUGUGGAGUGGGUAGUGGAGCUGUCAAGCUUUGUGCUCAGAUUUGAAAGUACCUCGACGAUCAAGAGCAGAGCUUGGCAGAAUUCAUAGCAGAAUGGACAUCCAUGCCCGACGAAGAAGUUCAAGAAACCACCCUUCCCGGCAAAGAGGCAAGUAGUCAUUGGAUUAUGUACUUCAAUGGAGCUUUCUCGUUACAAGGUGCUGGUGCCGGCGUGUUGCUCAUCGCAUCCGCCGGAGAACGCCUCAAGUACGUGAUCCAGAUGCACUUCCUUCGGGAGAGGUCGACAAACAACACUGCAGAAUACGAGGGGCUGCUUGCUGGUCUCAGGAUCGCGGCGGACCUUGGGAUCAGGAAGCUUAUUAUCAGAGGAGAUUCACAACUUGUCGUCAGGAAAGUUAACAAGGAUUAUAAGAGCCCGCUAAUGGAGGCUUACGUGGAUGAAGUGAGGAAUUUGGAAGAGCUCUUUGACGGUCUGCAAGCGGAGCAUGUUCCUCGGGCAGAGAACAGCAUCGCCGAUGACUUGUCAAAGCGCGCCACCCACAAGCUACCUGUGGAACCAGGUACCUUUGUGCUUCAAUUGACUCAGCCAUCCGUAGAACCAUCAGCAGGAUAGAACAAGAGAAGGAAGGCGGGGCCAGCAAGUACUUUCUCGAAGAGCUCCCAGGAGCCGCCGGCAAAGAAGUUGCUGGGUACCCCAAGCUUGCCGAGGAGCAGCAGCCCCCGCCAGGGCCCCAGGCCCUUACCGUCGAGGCAGCUGCCCCCACAGCGGAAAACAUGCCUUUGGUCCUUGGUGUCGAGCCUCAGGCUCCAGCAUGGGCACAACAUACAAUCCGUUUCCUCCAAACAGGGGAGCUCCUUGAGAAUCAAGAAGAAGCAGAGAAAGUAGCCCGUCGGUCUAGCAUGUACCAGUUUCUGGAUGAUGUCCUUUAUAGAAGAAGACCGAAAAUCGUGAAAUUGUAGUGUAUUCCUUAGAAGGACGGACUAGAGCUGUUGGCAGAGAUACACGGAGGCAUAUGUGGCUCCCACAUAGGGUCAAGAGCCCUUGCCGAAAAAGCAUUCCGGCAAGGUUUCUUUUGGCCCACUGCACUCUAGCAUGCGACAACACUAGUAACCAAGUGUGAAGCGUGCCAAUUACAUUCAAAGAAGCUUCAUCAACUAUCUCAAGCCCUUCAAACAAUCCCUCUCUCCUAGCCACUUUUAGUCUGGGGGCUCGACAUACUGGGCCCCUUUCCCUAUGCUGUCGGAGGCUUUGAGUACUUGUAUGUCGCGAUUGACAAGUUCACAAAGUGGCCGGAAGUGGAGCCAGUGAGAAAGGUGACAGCGCAGUGGGCCGUCAAGUUCUUCAAGGGACUCAUUUGCCAUUUUUGUGUGUGAAAUAGAGUCAUCACCGACAAUGACACACAGUUCACGAGCCGCACCUUCAUGCAAUAUAUCCAAGACCUUGGCAGCAAAGUUUGCUUUGCUUCCGUUGCUCAUCCAAGGAGCAAUGGCCAAGCGCAAAGGGAAAUUGCUGAAGUGUUGCAAGGCCUCAAAACAAGAACUUUCGACAGACUGCGAGUGUGGAAGGCGCUGGAUUGAUGAGUUGGCAACGGUUCUUUGGUCAAUCAGAACGACACCAAAUCAAGCUACUGGCCAGACACCCUUUGCCCUGGUCUACGGGGCAAAAGCAGUUCUCCCCAAUGAACUCAUAUACAGGUCACCUCGAGUGCUCAAUUAUGAUGAGCUUUAGCAAGAGUAGUUGCGCCAAGAUGAUGCGAUGCUCCUUGAGGAAGAUCGUUUUUGAGCUGCUGUGCGAGGUGCUCGCUACCAGCAAGCCUUGCACCAUAGCCGCAAGGUUCACGCCCGAAGCCUUGAGGAAGGCGACCUUGUUCUUCGGCGCGCUCAGUCUGCAAGGAAUUCAAACAAGUUGACGCGAAAGUGGGAAGGCCCCUAUCGGGUAAUACGAGUCACCAGGCCCGGUGCAGUCCGCCUGGAGACUGAAGAUGGCAUUCCAGUGAGCAAGUCCUGGAAUAUCAAACAUCUUCACAAGUUUUACCCAUAGGGCGCAGUUGUCGGGAGCUCCGACAAUCCCCCCUUUUUACUAGCCUUGCCGGCAAGGCAUGUAACCCCAUGUACAGAGAUCGGCGUAGAUCCUGCGUCCAGCCAGGUAGUUUUUAACAUGUACCAUUUCCUGCUAGUUUCCAUUUAUAUAUAUAUAUAUAUACACACACACACACAUACAUAAACACUAUUUUGAUCACGGGAUCAGAAUAAUAUUCUGAUCACAACCAAAACUGCGUGAGUAACGCGCCUGAACUUCUCUCUGUACGAACCCGACCUUCGGACUAUCUUCGCAACCGUGCCUUCUACCGCGAGUUUUUCUGUUUGGCGUGUUCCAUGUGAUGUAAGUGUAAUCUUCAAAUGAUUUUUAGCAACUAAAUACUUGUUUUAGAUAGGAAUCUCGCUCAUAGGCGGAUUUUGCACUCGGGUCGUGAAGAACUCACGUUUUUUGCGAUUUUACUGCCUGAGUUGUUCGACCUGAACUUCCCCAUGUGCUAGGUUGAACUUCCUGUAACAUUUCCCAAACGGGGCUUGCUAUAUACCGUUGGAAAGCUAUGGACACGAGUAUCAAGACCCAAGUUAAAUUUUUCGCAAAAUGUAAGCGGUUUAAGAGCAGUUUUGAAAACCGUUUUUUCUUCACACAAAAAACAUGAAUCGUAUUUUCGAUCACAUUUCUAAACCAUUUAUCGGAAUUAGGCAUAUAAUAUGGCGUUGGAAGGCUGCUGCAAAACCGCUCCUUCCACAUGUUGAAAGUUUUUUCUAAUUCCCUAUGGUUAAAGAGUAAUUUGAAAAAACGUAAAAUUUCCUAAACCGAACAGCUGAGUUCGUUUUUUCAAUGUCAUUUCUAAAAGGCUAAUCCAAUGGAGGCAUAUGAUAUGGCGUUGGAAAGCUUAUGAAAAUGCGCUACUUUUUCAUCUUGGAAGUGUUUUUCUAAUUUUGAAUGGUUUAAGAGUAAUUUAGAAAAUGGUUCAAGUCCUUCCGAGUUUGUAUUUUCAAGCUAAUUUUUUAACCGUGCAUCCGAAUGCAGCAAAUGAUAUGGCGUUGGAAAGCUUGAACAAAUGCGAAACUUUUUGGUAUGUAUUGUUUCUCCCAAUUCUUUACGGUUUUAAGUCACUUUUGAAAAUGGCGAAAACGUAUUUUCACUGUAAUUUCUACAAACUUUGUCGAAAUUGGGCAAAUAAUAUACCGUUGAAAAGCUACGAAAAAUGCAAAACUUUUUCAUGUUGAUGGUUUUCUCUGAUUCCUAGCCGUUUGCAAGUAAUUCCGAAAACGGCGGGAUCAUUCGUUCUGCCUCUAUCGCGAAACAGAUUCUUCGAAAAUGCACCGCGUGAAGAACCUGAACUUCUCGGUGCGUGUCCCUGAACUUCACUCUGUUUUUCACGUGAUUUUUUUGCUCGUAGCUCUUCAUCCACUGCUCGUAGCUCUCCAUCCACUCACUGGAAUUGAGCAAGUGAUAUACCGAUGGAAAGCUAUUAUAAACACGCAAAUUUCCCAUGUUGAUCAUUUUUUCAUACUCGCAACGAUUUUAAAAGUUUUUCAUCUCAAAUUCAUUCAGUGUAGUAGGUGAACUUCCUGCUGUUUUCACGUUGAACUUCUGUGACGUAUUCUCGUUUGUAAUUUUCUCAUCCAUUUUGUCAGUGUUACACAAAUGAUAUUCUUUUUGUACAAACCUCUCUCACAAUAUAUUUUUUAACUUUCUUCGACCGAGGACUUGAAUUUACACAAAUAAUAUUCCUGCCGUUUUGAGGUAAAUUAGAAAAUGGCGAGAUCAUGAUUUCUGCGUUCAUCGCGAACGGAAAUGCACUGCGUGAAGUAGUAGAACUUCUGGGGCAUGUCUGUUUGAACUUCACUUUGUUUUUGACGUGCUGUUUUUUGCACUGCGUGAAGUACUUGAACUUCUAGGGCAUGUCUGUUUGAACUUCACUCUGUUUCACUUUAUUUUGUUUUUUUCUUGUAUGAAAUACACACCAUGUAGUACGUGAACUUCUCUCUGGUUUGAGAGAAUUAUUUUAAAACCCAAAAAACAACAUAUUUUUUUACGUAUUUUGGACAUCUAAAUACAUGGUGAACCUCUCUCACAAGAAUUUUUUGAACUUUUCCUCGCCGAGCACUUGAACUUCUAGCAACCAUUUUUUCCAUUUAUGAGAUGUUUUUAAAAGUGCAAAAAAUGGCGUUGUAUUUUUUAUUUUUGUGAACAGGUAAAUCUUAGAUUUUAAUAAACUUCGAACUUCUGUGUUAUUUCAAUUUGAACUUCAUCUUUUUAUAUUUUGAUUAAAGAAAUGUAUUCGAUUUUUAUAUGAAAAAAAUCGAGCAUCGAAAUACAAGGUGAACCUCUCUCGCAAGGUUUUUUGAACCUCCCCGGACAGAGCACUUGAACUCCUUUCAAUAAACCUUUUAAGCUUUUAUUUUUCUAUAUUUUUAUUCUCACCUGAAAUGCAAUCCUUGCAGUAUUGAACUUCUCAUUGUUUUCACUAUGAACUUAUGUCGCAUUUUUGUGUAUAUGUCAAAAUACACGCAAUUGAAGGUUGGAUGUCAUUUUUUGCCAUUUUAAAACAUGUAAUUGGAUGUCGGACGCCCCGCAAUAUAAAUUUUGAACCGUGCACAGAGGUGCACGUGAACUUCUUGCAACAAAUCUGAGUUUUUAUAUACUUUGAACUUCUAUGUUAUUUUAAAUUGAACUUCUCAGUCUUAUUCUUAGAAAAAAUGUUUUCAAAUAAGCAUCAAACAUUUUUUUAAAUUACAAAAAAAUUAAAACUUAUUUUUUAAAUUUGAGUUUUAAAUUGAAUAAUUUAAAAGGAAAGCAUAUUUUAAAUUGAACUUCCGGUUGUUAUUCUUAGUCUUAUACUUUUAUUUUUUGUAGAAAUGGAAAGAAUUUGAGUUUUCCGUAAACAACAAACUACUCCUUUUAUUUUAAUUUGAACUUCUUUAAUUUUAUUCUUUAGUAACGAAAGAAAACCUGUGUUUUUUUUAUAAAUAUCGAACUUCUCUAUUUUUAAAAUUUGGACUUCUUGUUUAUUUGAAAUACUUUCCUCUUUCAUUUUUUUUGAAACCAUAAAACAAUGAUCUUUUUAUAAAAAAACAUUUAAAGUCAUGCGUUAUGUUAAUUUGAACUUCUUGCUUUCCAUUUUAGAUACAAACUUUUUUGAUUUUUUUAUAAACUUUGGCCUGCAAUGUAUCUUAAAUUUGAACUUCUUGGUUUAGUUUCAGAGACGCAAAAAAUUGCCUACUGUUUUGUCUUUUAACUUAUAGGCUUUUGGGGUUUCGUAAACUUUUAGAGUUUAUUUUUGUUCAAAGUUACACACACACACACACACACACACACACAUAAUAGAAUAUACACCCACACAUUGAUGCUCACAUGUUGUAGUUUUGUUUUGAAGUGAAUUUUUCUAGACUUAAAUUUUGUUUGUGCUCUUUUAAAUUUAUUUGUCACUUCAAGUUCUAAAAAAUCGCAAAUCUCCCAUGUUUUUCUUUGCAUGUUUAAAUAGUUUGAACUUACCGAGAUACACAUAAGAUACUUUACCUUCUCGAACACACCAGUUUGACCUUCACAAAAAAAAUAAGCAUAGUAAUACAAGACAAACAGAGCAUUCUCUGUAUCCAUUUUUUGAAAUGACAACAUGGGUGUAGGUGCUAGUUGGCGCAUUGUGCAGCGGGGCAUCGGUGGGUGGUAGUAGCAGAAGGCGGUCGUUUGCUUUUCAGAUCGAUGUUCUUGAAUUAGUUUCGAAGAGGAGCAACAACUUUUUGUUGCACUGCAGAUUCAAACACACAAGUAGGUCCUCUCCCGAUGAAUGAAUGGAACGAGUGAGAUGAGUGAGUCUGAAUAUGCAUGAAUGUAUAAAGGCCAUAUUUUUUAUUUGGGAUCUCUGGUACUGCUAAGAAUAUAGACUGAAAUAGUAGAUGAGUGGAGCUUAGUUGCAAGAACAUGAAAAUGAGAGAAGGAAGAAAUGUGAUGCCUGGGAAGGUCAGAUUCAGCCGUCACUGCAGUCCAUGCACGAGAACAGUGACCAAGUACAUCGUAAUGCGAGCUGGAUAUGAAUAUGAAGGAUAUGCUUUGGUGAAUCUCAAAGUCGGGUUCUUUUCUUUGGGCUGGUGAGCUUUCCCUUCAAACAACAAAGAUAAGAAGCCACUCCAGGGUCAUGUCCAUUUUUUUGUCGACUAUACCGACACUACAUAUCUCGCGGCUAAAAAGACGAGCAUCUUCCAAUUCUUUUGAGCGACUUGCUCCCAGCUGCUAUUUCAGCUUCCUCAAGAUCCCGUUCCUGUAAUUCAUGGGGAGAGGAUGGAGGCAGAAGGGCAGCAAAGCAUUUGCAUUUUCUCGAAGAAAAAGAAGGGCAGCAACGCUCGAGGGAGCAGCUCGGCCUACAUGAGCAGGAGGAGGAGCAACAUCAACAAGUUGCUAGCAUCGGUUGCUUUAACUCCAGAGGAGGACGAUCGAGGUUGAAGUUCAGACCUGCGCCACGGGGAAGGUCAUUUUUUGGGCUCGCCGGAGUUGGGGGUCAUCUCCCCUUCACAUCAAGGAGGAGGAGGAGGGGAAUGGGACCUGCUGGUGGCGCUCAAUGCGUGGGCGGGGCGGGUGGCCGGAGGUAGNNNNNNNNNNNNNNNNNNNNNNNNNNNNNNNNNNNNNNNNNNNNNNNNNNNNNNNNNNNNNNNNNNNNNNNNNNNNNNNNNNNNNNNNNNNNNNNNNNNNNNNNNNNNNNNNNNNNNNNNNNNNNNNNNNNNNNNNNNNNNNNNNNNNNNNNNNNNNNNNNNNNNNNNNNNNNNNNNNNNNNNNNNNNNNNNNNNNNNNNNNNNNNNNNNNNNNNNNNNNNNNNNNNNNNNNNNNNNNNNNNNNNNNNNNNNNNNNNNNNNNNNNNNNNNNNNNNNNNNNNNNNNNNNNNNNNNNNNNNNNNNNNNNNNNNNNNNNNNNNNNNNNNNNNNNNNNNNNNNNNNNNNNNNNNNNNNNNNNNNNNNNNNNNNNNNNNNNNNNNNNNNNNNNNNNNNNNNNNNNNNNNNNNNNNNNNNNNNNNNNNNNNNNNNNNNNNNNNNNNNNNNNNNNNNNNNNNNNNNNNNNNNNNNNNNNNNNNNNNNNNNNNNNNNNNNNNNNNNNNNNNNNNNNNNNNNNNNNNNNNNNNNNNNNNNNNNNNNNNNNNNNNNNNNNNNNNNNNNNNNNNNNNNNNNNNNNNNNNNNNNNNNNNNNNNNNNNNNNNNNNNNNNNNNNNNNNNNNNNNNNNNNNNNNNNNNNNNNNNNNNNNNNNNNNNNNNNNNNNNNNNNNNNNNNNNNNNNNNNNNNNNNNNNNNNNNNNNNNNNNNNNNNNNNNNNNNNNNNNNNNNNNNNNNNNNNNNNNNNNNNNNNNNNNNNNNNNNNNNNNNNNNNNNNNNNNNNNNNNNNNNNNNNNNNNNNNNNNNNNNNNNNNNNNNNNNNNNNNNNNNNNNNNNNNNNNNNNNNNNNNNNNNNNNNNNNNNNNNNNNNNNNNNNNNNNNNNNNNNNNNNNNNNNNNNNNNNNNNNNNNNNNNNNNNNNNNNNNNNNNNNNNNNNNNNNNNNNNNNNNNNNNNNNNNNNNNNNNNNNNNNNNNNNNNNNNNNNNNNNNNNNNNNNNNNNNNNNNNNNNNNNNNNNNNNNNNNNNNNNNNNNNNNNNNNNNNNNNNNNNNNNNNNNNNNNNNNNNNNNNNNNNNNNNNNNNNNNNNNNNNNNNNNNNNNNNNNNNNNNNNNNNNNNNNNNNNNNNNNNNNNNNNNNNNNNNNNNNNNNNNNNNNNNNNNNNNNNNNNNNNNNNNNNNNNNNNNNNNNNNNAGUUACAUGAAAAAAUUGCAUAUGAAUCCAUAGUUUUUGUUAUAGUUGUGAAAUACGUACAUAUUUGUACGUAAAAAAAAAGCAUACUCAAAACAUGGUAUAUACUACCUAAAAAUUAGUAUAUAUACUACCUAAUCAUUGUUAUAUACUACAUACUACACGUACAUACUCUCAAUUUUGACAGAUACUACAUAGAACAUACAAAAUGCAAGUGGUGGUAACUACCACUGCUUGUAGGAAACAUUUGUCAUAUAUAUAUAUAUAUAUAUAUAUAUAUAUAUAGGUGCCUGGGCACCUAGGCCCAUUACGGCAAGUCAUAUCCAUUAGUACAUGCUAUACAAUCCACGUAAUAAUAGCUUUUCAUGUUCUGUUUGCAUGCAUUAUCACCAUAAUGGGGUACGAUUGCUGAUAUACCAGAAAAUGAUAGACCCUUUGCUGAUACAUGUAUACUCGUUCAAGACUACCUGUAAAUGAUACUGGAGACAUAUCCAGAAAAAUGUAUACCCCAAGAAUAUAAAUAAAUGUGACAUACUCGGAAAUUAUAUACCCAAAAUCAAUUUACUCGCAUAUGAUGUACCCCAAAUUAAGUAUGUGCUAUCAGUCGAGAAUACAUCAAUCUACCCCAAAUUAAGUAUGUACUAUCAGUCGAGAAUACAUCAAAGGUAGGUAUAUACCCAAAACAUACCCAAAAAAUGUAUACCCCAAGAAUAUAAAUAAAUGUGACAUACUCGAAAAUUAUAUACCCAAAAUCAAUAUACUCGCAUGUGAUGUACCUCAAAUUAAGUAUGUAUUAUUGAUCAAGAAUACAUCAAAGGUAGUACGUGCAUUCAUAUAAUAUGCAUAAGGACGCACAUGCAUACCCCAUAAAAAUGCUAAGUUUGUAUGUAUAUACCUUCAUAGGAGUUUUCAUUAUACAUCCAACGAAAUAAAUUAAGAAAAAAUUGCAUUUAUCACUUUCCUAUUCAACGCAUGUUAUUAAGACACCUAAAUCAUACGUUUGUUGGUACUUGCCAAUUGCUUCCAUAAAGCAUAUAUGGAAGCAGCUUAAUAUACUCGCACCCAUUACUAUCUACAUGCAUCUGUCUAAGAUCCAACGGUCACGAGCUAAGGAGCCUGGACACCUAGGUGUCCCAAACUGUUGUCACAUAUAUAUAUAUAUAUAUAUAUAUAUAUAUAUAUAUAUAUAUAUAUAUAUAGAGAGAGAGAGAGAGAGAGAGGGGGGGGGAUGGAUUUGCUAUUCACACUAGCUCAGAUGGCUGUUAUCAGAACCCUUCGGUUGCAUCGAGAUUCGAACCGUUGGGUGGAUAAGGUUCUGCUUUAAUCAUUUAUUGAAUUUUGCCACGGUCUAGGAGGAAAGUUGAGCCGAACCUUUUUGGUGUCAGUUGCCGGAAUGGGAAACCUACUGUCUGGCGAUUGCAGGUGUGCUCGAGGCAAAGUGACGACGACACUUUUCGAAGCAGCAGGGUGAGCCAGUGGCUGUUUUGGGCGAGCCGAUCAAUCAGCUAUUUCUGGCUAAUUAUGUAAAGUUCUACGGAGCCUUGGACUUGUCUUCUUGUGUUAAAACAACCAUUUUGGUCUAGUAAGCUGUGGAUAGUUGGGCACUGUUUUAGAGCAGCAAAAAAUGGUCUGCGAUGCUGGAGCGGGUGUGUAAAGCUUGCCGUAUUUAGAGGAUGCUUGGAUACAAGGGACUAUUUUUAGUCUGAUUAAAAAUAGUCUCUUUUAGAGGCUAAAGUUCCAAGCACCCCUGACUAAAAAGAGGCUAGGACUAGUCUUGAGGCUAAAAUCUUUUAGUCAUGGGAAACCUACUAAAAUAUGUAUUAGCUCUCUCUCUUCUCAUUUAAUUCCUCUCCUUGGUUCUGCAUUGGAGGGUUUGGAGGAUAAUAAAUGCUCAAUAACUAGAUUUUAGUCUCUUUAGUAUUUGGAUCCAAGCAUGGGUGAGACUAGCAAGUUUUAGUCCCACUACUUUUAGUCAUGGGACUAAAACGUAUCCAAGCAUGCUAUUAGUCUAGGUGUUUUGAAUACAGUUCUGCACCGUCCUGUAAUGAUGACCUGUCGGAUGAUUAAAUGCCAUUUUCAGAGGAAAGAUCCCUUAGUAAUGACCUGCGCCGACCUGUAGUAAUGACCUGCAAUAUUUAGUCAAGGCACACAACUACGGUAUGGGCUUCUAAUUACUGAAGCCACCGUCCAGCUGUUUGUUUUGCAUAUCUAGCAGCCCUAUCACCGAUCAUCUCACAGGAAAAACACCGACAAGCUUGCCUAGCACGGCCACGGCUGCACAGGAAAAACGCUGACAAGCUUGCCAUGCACGGCCACGGCUGCAAUGCUGGGUUGCAACAAUGACACUACUGGCGACCAUUCUUGAAGGCAUUUACGAAAACGCAGGGAAAACCAAUGUUGAGCAAGAGAAACGGAUUCAGGAGUAGACUUGAAAAGCACAUAUGGGCGGAUGCAUAGGGAAUGAAGACACUACUCGAACGCCACCGAAAUUCAGUCUGUACAACGUAAGCUUGAUGUACAAAAUGUAUAUCAUUUUGAUGGAUGUACCUUAGAUCUUGGCUGUGCACCGCCCUGUUAACGAACGCAGUUCGUCAAUCUCCCGUUGCGCUUCAGCCUCUUGGUUCUUGGUAUCGGACAGCAAACGGCCUGCUGCGCUUGCUGUGUUUUUGCCGGCCCCGCAGCCCGAGUGCGAUCACGGGGCGUGCUUCCUUUCUGCAGGAUAACAUCCAAUGUAGACGACCGAGGAAAUGUCAGGACAUCUCGGAUUUCGGGAGGCCAACACUAAGGUCAACUCCAGCGCGUGAGCCCAAACGACCCUAAACUCCGUCUGUUUAUGCCUGUUUGGAGUAAAACUGACAAACCAAACGACCCAACGCAUGGGAGCAUACGGACGUUUCACCUGGUCUGUGUCCGCUUUUGCCUCAUUUCCACACCAAAGUUGCUCUCGGUUUGGGGCCAAAGCGGACAGAAUGCGGACGCGAAGUGUCCGCCCUCAGUCCAGGGUCUGGGGUUGGGCCUCGUUCCGGGAGCCUGCGGCCGGCAAGGGCAUGGAGUUGGAGAGCGAGGAGGAGCGCCAUGGCACCGAGGAUGCGGCGGCAUUGGAGCGGUCGAGCUCCGCCUCCGCGGAGAAGUUGGCGCCCUCGACCCCAUCGUGCCACCUCCGUCGCCGAGCCCGGCCAGCCGCGCGCAGGCACUUCUCCGCCCCCUGCCUGCCCUCUCUCUGCUCUGCCCUCCUCGCGUGGUAGCUGACCGGCGCGUGGGCGUGCCGCGUUUGUUGGCCGCGGCGUUCCACGCGGGCGCUCGGCGGGAGUCGGCGAGGCGAGGCGGGUGCAGGAGCGGCGAGCUGCCGGGCAGACGCGGCGGGUCGCGGCAGGGCGCGGUCGGACAUGGCAGAUGCGGCGAGGCGUGCGCGCGGGCGCGGUGGGAGCGAGGGCACAAGCACGACGAGGCGUCAGGCGCGAUGGCGGGCAUGCGGUCGUGACGGGAGCGAGGGCGUGCAUGAGCAGGAGCGACCGCGGCGACGUCAAGUUCGCUAUGCCUGCUACGUGUUUGAAGAAAUGAUGAGGACGAACAGCUGGUGAAAUGGGGUGAAAAUGGGGUAGCAGCGUUGGGUGCAACGAGUUUGUUCGGCGUUUGUUCUCUCUAUUUCUACCCCAUAUGGACAAAAUCCGGAUAAAAUGGGUAUAAAUUUAGGAUCGUGCGGUGGAGUUGGCCUAAUGCACAACUCCAAAUGAACGUCCAUUUCGUCUGGUUUCCGUCCGUUUAGGACAUGAAAACGGACAUGAUUGUCCGCUUCUAGUUGUGCGGCCGUCGGUGCGCCUAACUAACACGCUCCACUCUAACCCGUCCGUGUUUUUGGACUUCGGCUUUGGCCCCAAAAAACCCCAAAUAAACGUUGCAAAUAAUAUAAAAUCAUAAAUAUAAACAUUAAGAGCAACUCCAACACGGCGACCCAAAUAGACGGCGAUUUUGUCCAUUUGAGUCGGUCCGGCGGACAACCGCGUCUGCUUUUGCGUUUGGGUCGACGCUUGCGCCCAACACUGACCCGACCCAUUUUUGAGGUGGUGCAAAAAAAAUUAGACCACAAAUAUUUUGAAAAUAGAAAACAUUAAUGCCGACCACAAAAGGCCUGCGAGAGUCCACGAGUCCACAUUACAUUAAGUAAAAACAUUUAAGAAAACUAAAAACUAGAAGGCGCGAUGCUUUAGGCGUCCUCGUCGUCACCGUCGGAGCCGGUGAGGUCGACGAGUGUCUGCGCCUGGCCAGCCCAGGGGAACACCGUCUCCUAGGUCGCGGCGGCAUCGUCCGCCGGUGGCUGUAUCGCCGCUGGAUGGGCUGCGCGACUGCGGACACGACGCUCCUCGUCCUUCGCCUCAGCGUCACGCUCCAACUUAUAGAGCCGCUCGCCCUCAUGAAGCUCCUCCGCGAGCCUGCGUUGCUACCAUUACUCCAGGUACAUCUGCUCCUGGGCCGGCGUUGCCCCAAACCAGAUGGGCGGCACACUGACCCACUCGCGCACGUACCCGUCCUAUGUGUAACGCUCGGGCUCGACGGGGGUCGGCGCCGGCUCGAGGGACGGCGGGGCCAACGGCGGCCCAACGUAGUCGCCGGCAGCAGAGAGAGCCUUGGCCUUCGCCAGCCAUGCCUGGUACGCCACCUCCUCCUUAUCCUCCUUGUGCCGCUCCUCAUCCUUGUUUUCACGGAGAACAGCCACCAGCGCUGCCUGGUUGGCGGCCUCCGCCUCCUGGUCCUCGUCACGCAUGACGAGGGGCGGCGGGGUGCCAACCACGUCACAGACGCCGCGCCGACGCUGCUCCUCGUGCUCCAAUGCGAACCAAACCUCCCAAUCCGGAGAGUCUAAUGCGUAGGCGGGAUUGAGGCGUUGCUCCAGCGUCAGCUACUGCCGGCGGCGCCAUACCUCCUCCAUGUGCGCCCACUGAUGAAGUCACGUACCUAGGGUAGGGUCAUGAACCUGACCAAGGUACCCUCCCCAAGGACAUCCUUUAGAAGAAGCCGUCUUCCAGUCGACCAAGAGGAACUCCACUCGACGGACUAGAAGACACUCGACGAACCUGAAGACACUCGACCAUGAAGACUCACUCGACCAUCAGGAGUUCAAGAUCUACUCUGUACCCAAAUGGUCUAUAAUUAAGUAGUCUUAAUGGUCAUGAUGACACUUUAUGUAAGGCGUUUCCAGUAACGCCAGACCUUAAUGUACUUUAACCCUCUGCUACGUUGGCUGGCUGGGGUCUUGGCAUCCUCUAUAUAAGCCACCCCCCUCCACUGGUAGAAGGGUUCGCACCCCUGUAACUCUCACACACAUAAUCCAGUCGACCGCCUCCGGGCUCCGAGACGUAGGGCUGUUACUUCCUCCGAGAAGGGCCUGAACUCGUAAAACACUUGUGCGCACGACUUCUCCAUAGCUAGGAUCUUGCCUCUCCAUACCUACCCCCUAUUGUACUGUCAAACUUAGAACCACGACAGUUGGCGCCCACCAUGGGGCCGGUGUCUUAGCGACUUGUUGGAGAAGUUGCAAUCUUUUCAGUUCCCAUCAUCAUGGUUUCAGGUGGAGUUUUGGUUGAGGGCCGCGAGAUCUGUCUCGGCGCGCUCACAUUCGUCGCCGACGACUCUGCCUGGCUGCAGGAGGCUCCGCUUGACGUGGAUGCACUCCCAGUCCGCGGAGCUACGCACUUUUGAGCAUGCGUCCGCGGCGUCCUUCUGCGGCAACUAUCGACUCAGUAUCAGCCGGUUUUCGUGUCAUCCUCCCUCCCAGCUUCCCGCCGGCGCAAGUGCUCCGGUCGGUUGAGGCUUCAGCGGUGGGUGAGGCACGCAGUGGCUCGCCAAUCGACCACACUGCCCAAGUCGCGGCAAUCGAGCCCGACGAAUCUCUCUACGGCAUGUUCGACCUGUCGACUGGCUCCGCAGAGACUGCAUCCGAAUGCGACAGCAGUGAUCCGGCGGCGGAGGUCCUGAUGGUCAAUGGGCCGCACGUUCCCCCCGGCUUUCCUGGCACCGAGAGAGGCAUUGGCGGAGGCGAUCCAUCGCACGACCAUGAGGAGUACCGCCCCGAGCCCCUCGACUCGCAGCAGAGGGAAGAGCCUCGCCGCCGGAACAUGGAUGCGCUUCAUACUCCGAUCGUUGGAGAAACCCCUGAGGCUCGCGCCUUAGAGGACGCGCGCUUGGCCAACCUGUCUGAGCGCUCUCGACUGGAGAACCUUCAGCGGGCACUCGACGAGCGCGCGCGGCAACGGAUUCCAGACUCCAGUCGAUGUCGACUCUUUAAACCUCCGACUCAGGUAUACCGCACUCCGAUCUAGAAUUUGGCAGCUGCAACCCGUAUAGCGGAGUCGAUUCAGCCUUCCCAGGCAGAGGCUGGCAGAGGCUUGUUGCAGAUCAGGGAUUUGCUCCGUGCAGCAGGAGAUCAGAAUUCGGUUGUGUCGCAGUCGCGGAACAGGAUUCAUAGCAGAUCCGUGGCGGCAAAUACGGUCCAGUCGGCUCAUAGCCCCAGAUCACCCCCGAGGCGUGAAGGGCAUGGCGACCGGCACGAUUAGUACAGGAACUAUGAGCAGUAUGAUCACCGAUUCGAUCGCAACGAUCGACGUCGAGUGCCCACUCCUCCCCCGAGGGGUGGAUCAUAUAUGCCUCGACAGCAGGAUGACAGACGCCAGCACAGUGGCGGGCAAAGAAUUCAUAUCGACCCCAGGGAACCAGGAUUUGAUGCGAGAUCCAUCAUCGUUCAAGGUCUGGUCGACCGGAACAGAGCCCACAGAGAGGGUAAUGACAGAGAUGUACCCACCAACAGCCGAGUGCACGUCUCUAGACCAGAGUGUUUCAGCAGAACCAUCAGAGCUGCGGUGAUUCCUCCCAACUUCAGGUUGGCGACUGGAGUCAGCAAGUUCAAUGGUGAGUCCAAGCCUGAUACUUGGCUUGAGGACUACCGAGUGGCUGUUCAGAUCGGCGGCGGAAAUGAUGAGGUGGCCAUGAAACAUCUGCCUCUCAUGUUGGAAGGGUCAGCCAGGGCAUGGCUGAAUCAGUUGACACCCAACAGCAUCUACACGUGGGAGGACCUCUCUCGAGUGUUUGUCAGGACGUUCGAAGGAACGUGCAAGCGGCCGGCGGGACUGACAGAGCUGCAAUCUUGUGUACAGAAGUCGAAUGAGACUCUGAGGGAUUACAUCCAGAGAUGGAUCACACUGCAUCACACAGUAGAAAAUGUAUCUGAUCAUCAGGCAGUUUGCGCCUUCAAGGAGGGCGUAAAGUACAGAGAGCUAAGCCUGAAAUUCGGCCGAACCGGAGACAUGUCUCUGAGUCGAAUGAUGGAGAUAGCCACCAAAUAUGCCAAUGGUGAGGAAGAGGAUCGGCUCCGGAGCGGCAAGCACAAGUCAGUCGCCCAGGACACCGGAGGCGGAAAUUCCAGUCGGAAGCAAAAGCGUAAAGCUGAGCCAGCCGCACCUGGAGAAGCCUUGGCCCUGAACCAAGGAAAGUUCAAAGGGAAACCCAAGGGGCCUUGGAACCCCAAGAAAGUAAAAGAUAAAGAAGGAAAUGACGUGUUGGAUUUACCAUGUCACAUCCACACCAAGAAAGACGAAGAGGGUAAUUUCAUUUACCCGAAGCAUACCACUCGACAGUGUCGACUCCUGAUACAGCAGUUCCAAGGGAAGCAACCUAAGGACAAAGAAAAAGAGUCGGACAAGGUUGAGGACAAGGAGGAUAGUGACGAGGAAUAUCCGUAGGUCAAUCCCACCUUGAUAAUUUUUGCCGAUGUUGAGAGCAAAAACCGACUAAAAGUUAUAAACCGGGAGGUGAAUAUGGCUGCUCCAUCAACACCCAAUUACCUGAAGUGGUCUCAGACUGCCAUUACGGUCGACCAAUCCGAUCACCCCACGCACAUAGCCACCCCUGGGAGGCAAGCGUUGGUGGUCGACCCAGUCGUCGAGGGCACUCGACUGACCAAAGUGUUGAUGGAUGGCGGCAGCAGUUUGAAUAUACUGUAUGCUGAGACGCUGAAAGGGAUGGGCAUUCUGAUGUCCAGAAUGAGCACAAGCAACAUGAGUUUUUAUGGAGUCAUCCCUGGCAAGAAGGCCGCAUCACUCGGCCAGAUUGCCCUUGAUGUAGUUUUUGGUGAUUCAAAGAAUUUCCGCAAGGAGAAGCUGGCAUUUGAGGUUGUGGAUUUCUAGAGUGCCCAUCAUGCAAUUUUGGGCAGGCCAGCUUAUGUGCAUUUUAUAGCUCGACCAUGUUACGUGCACCUCAAACUAAAGAUGCCUGGCCCUAAAGGCGUGAUUACUGUCACUGGUAAUCGCAAGAAGGCAGAAGAGUGCUUCCAGAAAGGCUCAAAGACCGCCGAUGCUUAGAUGGUGGCAGAAGAGUGGCAGGAACACCAAAGGAAUGCAGACCCGAGUGAUUUGUUGCGAGCCAAAAAGCCUGCUACGGAAUCAGCGUUCCAGUCGUCCAGUGAGACAAAACCCGUUCACAUCCACCCGACCGACCCUAACGAUGCCCCGACUCAUAUCUCCACAACACUUGACCCCAAAUAGGAAGAAGCGCUCAUCCAGUUCCUCCGUGAGAACUGGGACAUCUUUGCAUGGAAACCUUCUGACAUGCCGGGUGUACCCAGGGGACUAGCUGAGCAUCGUCUACGAGUCGAUUCAAAGGCAAAACCUGUGAAGGAACAUCUGCGACGGUACGCCGUCCAGAAAAGGAAGGCCAUUGGCGAGGAAGUGGCUCGGCUCCUAGCAGCAGAGUUUAUCCGAGAGAUUUACCAAUCCGAGUGGCUCGCCAAUGUCGUCAUGGUCCCCAAAAAGGACAAUUCACUUCACAUGUGCAUCGAUUUUAAGCAUAUCAAUCGGGCCUGCCCGAAAGAUCAUUUUCCUCUUCCCCGCAUCAACCAAAUAGUCGACUCGACUGCGGGAUGUGAGCGACUGUCUUUCUUGGACGCUUAUUCCGUGUACCAUCAGAUCCAUCUGUUUGGGCCCGAUGAGAUCAAAACGGCUUUCAUCACCCCAUUUGGGUGCUUUUGUUAUGUCACCAUGACAUUCGGCCUCAAGAAUGCCGGAGCCACAUUCAUGAGGAUGAUUCAGAAGUGUUUGCUCACUCAAAUCAGUCGGAAUAUGGAAGCGUACAUGGAUGACAUUGUGGUCAAGUCACGGAAAGGUUCCGACCUGCUGACUGACCUCGCUGAAACAUUUGCCAACCUCAUGAGGUACGAUAUCAAGCUUAACCCAUCCAAGUGCACGUUCGGAGUUCCUGGUGGAAAAUUACUCGGUUUUCUCGUUUCCGGAUGGGGAAUCGAUGCAAACCCAGAGAAAGUAGGCACAAUACUCCGAAUGAAAUGACCUGUGCGUGUGCACGAUGUUCAGAAGCUUACUGGUUGCUUGGCCACUUAAAGUCGAUUCAUCUCUCGUCUCGGUGAGAAGGCAUUGCCUCUUUACCGACUGAUGAAGAAAUCAGACAAGUUCGAGUGGACUCCUGAAGCUGACGCAGCAUUUGUAGAGUUAAAAACCCUGCUUUCCACCCAGCCGGUGCUUGCUGCUCCAAUCAGCAAAGAGCCUUUGCUGCUUUACAUUGCAGCCACAGGACAAGUCGUCAGUACUGUACUUACGGUCGAGCGGGAAGAAGAAGGGAAAGCCUUCAAAGUUCAGCGCCCGGUAUAUUACAUUUCUGAAGUCCUGACCCCAUCCAAGCAACGAUACCCUCACUAUCAGAAGCUUGUAUACGGGAUUUAUAUGACCACGAAGAAAGUUGCUCACUACUUCUCUGACCAUAUCAUCAUAGCCGUCACUGACGCCCCCUUAUCAUAGAUUCUGCACAACAGAGACGCAACCGGUCGAGUGGCAAAAUGGGUGAUUGAACUUCUUCCUCUAGAUAUCAGAUUUGAGGCAAAGAAAGCUAUCAAGUCCCAAGCAAUAGCGGAUUUCCUCGCCGAGUGGACUGAACAGCAGUUACCGACCCAAGUUCACUCGGAGCACUGGACUAUGUUCUUCGAUGGAUCCAAAAUGCUGAAUGGUUCCGGUGCCGGAGUGGUCUUGGUUUCCCCCCGAGGAGAUAAGCUCAGAUAUGUACUCCAGAUUCACUUUGAUUCCUCCAACAAUGAAGCAAAAUACGAAGCACUCUUGUACGGAUUGCGUAUGGCCAUUUCACUCGGCGUCCGUCGCCUCAUGGUCUACGGUGACUCGGACUUAGUGGUCAACCAAGUGAUGAAGGAGUGGGACAUCAGAAGCCCAGCCAUGACUGGUUACUGCAAUGCAGUCAGAAAGCUAGAGAAAAAAUUUGAGGGAUUAGAGCUCCAUCAUGUUCCCCGAAAAAUCAAGCAGCCGAUGACUUGGCCAAGAUAGGUUCCAAGAGGGAAGCCAUUCCGAUUGGCGUGUUUUUGGAGCAUGUUCACACGCCGUCGGUUCAAGAAGAUCCUUUCACUGAGGAAGCCCCGCAGCCAAAAAGCGCCACAGAUCCGACUGAAGUCGAGGUCCCAGCUGUGGUCGACUUAAUCAUGGAAGUUCUGGUCAUCAGUCCCGACUGGACAGUGCCCUAUAUCGCCUAUAUUCUGAGGAAAGAGCUCCCCAAGAAUGAAGAAGAGGCUCGAGAGAUCGUCCGCCGAUCCAAAGCCUUCACCGUCAUGAGGGGACAGUUGUACAGAGAAAGUGCGACUGGAGUCAGCCAGAAAUGCAUAACACCGGAAGAAGGUCGAAUGAUUCUCAACGACAUCCACUCGGGGACCUGUGGCCAUCAUGCGUCCUCUCGGACCAUCGUGGCUAAAGCAUACCGAGCGGGUUUUUACUGGCCCAGAGCAAAUGAGAUGGUGAAAGAGAUAGUCGACAAGUGUGAAGGAUGUCAAUUCUACUCCAAUAUGUCGCACAAACCCGGCUCAGCCUUGAAGACCAUUCCACUCGUCUGGCCUUUCGCUGUAUGGGGGUUGGAUAUGGUUGGACCACUGAGAACAGGCAGAAACGGCUACACCCAUGUAUUGGUAGCAGUCGACAAGUUCACUAAGUGGAUUGAGGCUAAACCCAUCAAGAAUCUGGAUGCCGGCACCGCCGUUAGCUUCAUCAGGGAGCUGGUAUUCAGAUAUGGAGUUCCCCACAGUAUCAUCACAGACAAUGGGUCAAACUUCGACUCCGAAGAAUUCAGAACCUUCUGCGCAUCUCAGGGUACACGAGUCGACUAUGCUUCAGUCGCCCACCCUCAGUCGAAUGGACAAGCAGAACGAGCAAAUGGCUUAAUUCUCAAAGGGUUGAAACCCCGACUAAUGUGCGACCUCAAGCACGCAGCUGGCGCAUGGGUCGACGAACUUCCGUCGGUGCUUUGGGGAUUAAGGACCACGCCAAACCGGUCGAUUGGGAGGACUCCGUUCUUCUUGGUCUAUGGAGCUGAAGCAGUCUUGCCGAGUGACCUGCUCCACAACGCACCCCGAGUCGAACUCUACACCGAAGCUGAAGCAGAGCAAGCCCGACAGGACACGGUCGACCUUCUAGAAGAAGAAAGAGAGAUGGCCUUGAUCCGAUCGACCAUUUACCAGCAGGACUUGCGUCGCUUCCAUGCCAGAAAUGUGAAGGGUCGAGCUUUCCAGGAGGGAGAUUUAGUUCUCCGAGUGGAUCAGCAAAAACCACACAAGCUUGCUCCUACUUGGGAAGGUCCCUUCAUCGUCACCAAGGUUCUCCAUAAUGGGGCAUACCGCCUUUACAAUGUCGAGCACCAGAUUGACGAGCCCAGAGCAUGGAACGCGGACCUGCUCCGCCCUUUUUAUACUUAAGUUUUCACUCGGAUGAGUUGUAAUAAAAGUACUCUUGUAGUGUAUUCAUCAAAGACAAGAGUUCCAUAAUUUUCUCAGUAAUUGUUAUUGCUUUUGUUCUCAUAAAUAUGUCACCCAAUGGGUGGCUUAGCUGCGAACCUGUUUCGCCUAAGAUUGUAAAAAAUCCUACCGGGUGGUAAGCCAACCUUCCACUCGGAGGCUUAGCUGCGAAUCCGUUUCGCCUAAGUUAAACAAAAUCCUACCGAGUGGUAAGCCAGUCUUCCACUCGGAGGCUUAGCUGCAGUCCAAGUACUCGCCUAAGUAAACAAAAUCCUACUGAGUGGUAAGCCAGUCUUCCACUCGGAGGCUUAGCUGCAGCCCAGUGCUCGCCUAAGUUUUUGAAAAUCCUACCGAGUGAUAAGACAGUCUUCCACUCGGAGGCUUAGCUGCAACCUAGUGUUCACCUAAGAAUAAAAGACAUCGUACGCUUCGCAAGGAGGACGAGGCGCAGGUCGACCCCUACUUCCUCCUUCCGAGCUACGUCACAAACACAACGUGCGUUCCGCAAGGAGGACGAAGCGCGGAUCGACUGCUACCUUCUCCUCCAAAGCUGUGCCACGAAAAAUCUACCGAGUGGAGAGCAAACCUCCCACUAGGGGGUUAGCUGCAGCCCAGUGCUCGCCUAAGUUUCUAAAAAACCUACCGAGUGGAGAGAAAACCUCCCACUCGGGGGAUUAGCUGCAGCCCAGUGCUCGCCUAAGUUUCUAAAAACCUAUCGAGUGGAGAGCAAACCUCCCACUCGGGGGCUUAGCUGCAACCCAGUGCUCACCUAAGUUUCUAAAAACCUACCGAGUGGAGAGCAAACCUCCCACUCUGGGGCUUAGCUGCAGCCCAGUGCUCGCCUAAGUUUCUAAAAAACCUACCGNNNNNNNNNNNNNNNNNNNNNNNNNNNNNNNNNNNNNNNNNNNNNNNNNNNNNNNNNNNNNNNNNNNNNNNNNNNNNNNNNNNNNNNNNNNNNNNNNNNNNNNNNNNNNNNNNNNNNNNNNNNNNNNNNNNNNNNNNNNNNNNNNNNNNNNNNNNNNNNNNNNNNNNNNNNNNNNNNNNNNNNNNNNNNNNNNNNNNNNNNNNNNNNNNNNNNNNNNNNNNNNNNNNNNNNNNNNNNNNNNNNNNNNNNNNNNNNNNNNNNNNNNNNNNNNNNNNNNNNNNNNNNNNNNNNNNNNNNNNNNACUCGGGGGCUUAGCUGCAGCCCAGUGCUCGGCUAAGUUUCUAAAAAACCUACCGAAUGGAGAGCAAACCUCCCACUCGGGGGCUUAGCUGCAUCCCAGUGCUCGCCUAAGUUUCUAAACAACCUACCGAGUGGAGAGCAAACCUCCCACUCGGGGGCUUAGCUGCAGCCCAGUGCUCGCCUAAGUUUCUAAAAUCCUACCGAGUGGAGAGCAAACCUCCCACUCGGGGGCUUAGCUGCAACCCAGCACUCGCCCAAACAUGACGAGCACAAGUCGACUGCAAUUUGUGCUUCACUCCUACCUGCAAAAGAGCAUUACAGAUGCUAGUAUAUACUCCAAUCCAAAGAAGAUGGUUGUCCGAAAGAAGCAAACGUAUUUCGACGGCAAAUCAAGUUCGGAUAACGUCCUACGGACCCAGAAGUACUCAGGCAUCAAGCCUGUUAAAGUUUGUCGGUUACAAAAAUCACUCGGCAUUCCGAGGCAAAUUCAAAUCAUCGAGCAUAGAAGUUUUUUACCCCUCCUGCGGAGGGCUGGAAGGCGCAACAAACUCGUCCAGGUCGAUCCCAUCUAUGAUCCGAGUGGCAGACGCGAUGAAGGUCUCCAUGAAAGAACGGAAGUCAUGCUUCCUAGUGUUGGCCACCUUGAGAGACACCAGCUUGUCUUCUCUGGCUUCCUUGCAGUGGACGUGGACCAAGGACAGAGCGACGUCAGCAUCGCACCUGGCAGAAGACUUCUUCCAUUCUUGCACUCGACUCGGAACUUCGUUCAGUCGAGUCAUCAACGACUCAAGGUCGUUCUGAAGCGUUUCUUCUGGCCAGAGCGAUGUGUCGAUGCGCAACGUUGCGGCCUUCGGUCUUGCAAGGUAAUCGAUCACUACAGCAAUGCGAGACUCGAGGCAGAGCACGUUCAUAGCGGUUUCAUCCUUCACCAGAGAAUUGAUGGGAUCCAAGCCAGUCUCCACUCGACUAGUCUCCUCUUCAAAGUUUUGGCAGAAUUUUGUGGACAUGAUUCAAGGAUAAGCUAAUGCCCUUACAGCAAGUCAGUAAUUACCAAACGGAGAUAAGGGGUUACCUUCGAGCAUGAGGAAUAGCUUCUUGGCGAGUCCUCCCAGAUAAACCUCCAAGUCAUUCUUCUUUCCCGCCAGUUCGCCAGCUUUGUCGCUCAGGACCAUAUUGGCGUUCUUCAGUCGAGUGACUUCUUGGUUGGCCACGUCGAGAGCAGCUUUCAGAUUAGUGUUUUCCUCUUCAAGUUUGUUAACAGAAGCCAACUUCUCUUCUGCAAGUUUUGUCUUGUUCGAAGCCGCUUUCUGCGCCUCGGCGAGGUCAAGGUCCUUCUUCUUCAGAGCAUCCCUCAGUUUUUCUGCAAAAAUCACAAUAAGAUCAGACUCAGAGACAGGCAAGAAGCAAGGACAGUCGUCAAGACUCUCACCAAACAUACCUUUUGCCUCCUCCUUUGACUUCGUAAAGUUCUCUUGGACAAGCUUCUGGUCAAGUUCAACCUGGAUAUGCUUGUUCUCCAAUUCGGUAUAACGAGAAACAAGGUCACAAGAUUUCUGCGAAAGAUCAGUCGACAGACAUCAACGACAGAUCACUUCCGAGUGACUAAAAAAAAA